GAAUGACUAAGUUAUUUAAACACUCCACAGUCGUUCAUAUGUUGGAAGUAGGUAUGAAUCAAGACUGUCAUGAAUCGAGUUUGUAGAUGGCUAAAUGGGUUUAGUCAUAGCAAUGGUUGCUACAACAUUCAUGAGUGCUCAUAAGUUAUGAGUAUUGGAAUAAACCCACGCUCACUUGUAUCACUUCAUGGAAUUUAUCUCGAGUGAUCGUGAGACGGUAAUAUCAUAUAAAUCUUCAAACCUAGAGAUAUGAGUUGUUACCUAUGAGUUGGUUGUGCAUUGAUUGCACGUAAACGCAUCAGUAACUUGAUGUUAUAAAACGUGCCUUUGUGUACAAUUCAACAAGUAGUAGAACAAGCAUAUGAGUCGAAGUUUAUCUGUUCCUUCUAGAAAUAGAAGCGAUAUUUGGGCCCCUCGAUGAUUUUGUUGUGACCUAUGUACCGGCCGGUCAGAACUAAAUUGAUGUGUUCGAUUAAGUUCUUUGUCAAACAAAUCGAAAAUCGGGAAACAAACUGCUGGACAAUAAGUACGACGUUGUUCCAUGUAUUUGUCCGGCUGAUAUCAUGAGAACAGAGGAUUAUAUGAUCACUUAUCUAAAAUGGCGCUUCAUAGUUCAACAGAGUUUUCGAGAGCUACGAUUGCUGGUUGGUUCCUGAAGUAACAUACGCAAAUAUAGUUAUUAGACUUAUCCAAGUGGGAGUCUGUUGGAUAAGGUGUCUAAGUCCAUAACUUAUUUGGUACAUACUUGACCCGACCCGGCAUGGUCCAUUUGGGUUGCACUUCACCCGAACUAUUUAUGGAUAAUUUUAUGAGAGUUAUACGCAUAUGUUUAUUAAUAUAUUAUAAGUUAUAAUAUAUUAAUAUGAAGCCAUGUUAUUUAAUUAGUCUUAGUCUUAAAUUAAUUAUGAAUUAAUUUAGAGAUUAAAAGGAAGACUAAUUAAAUUGUGGGCUAUUGUUUUAUAUGGUGUGGGCUAACACUCAUUUGUUAAUGGGCUAGGCUUAUAUGGAAGUCCAUGGAUGAUCCAUGGAGCUUUUAACCCAGGGAUCCUUGGAAAGGAAAAGACAUGGGUUAUUAGGGUUUCACCCUAAUCAUGUACACUAUAUAAGCAUGCUUAUGUUGCAUGAAAUGGUCACUAUUGACACUAGUGUGGUUUUGUGUGUGUGGCCGAUUUUCUAUGUGUGUAUACACUCUCUCAAAGUUUUCCAAGUGUUUGUGGUGAUUUGUGAUUCCAUUUGAGGCAUUCACACUAUUGGUGCUUGGCUCUCAAACUCCAAACAAUCAACCAUCAUCAAAAGGUAUGUAUUUCUACUAGUACUUUUAUGAUUCAUAAUCCUUAUGCUAUGCUAGUUAGGAUGAAACCUUGGAAAAUAUUAUUUGCAUGUAUUUUAGAAGAAAACAUAGAUCCAAGGUUUAUUAGGGUUGCAUGCACACUUAGGAAGUGUUAGAUUGCUCAAAACCCAACAGAAGGUACAUACACUAUUCUGUCUAAGAAUUCACCCCAUUCUAAUUCUUGGGUCCUUGAUACAGGUUGUGGUACUCACAUAUAUACUAAUCUGCAGGGACUAAGAAGAAGUGAGAAUGUGGAGCAUGGGAAGACAAAAUUGAUCAUGGGGAAUAGGAAAGCUUCACCUAUCACCAAGAUUAGAGUUUAUUCUUUGUUGCUAAGUAGUGGAUUAGUAUUAGAUUUGAAUAAAUGUUGUUACUCGUCUGGAAUGGUAAUAAAUAUUAUUUCCAUUCAUGGUUUGUACAAACAAGGUUUUACCUUUUCAUUUGAUAAUGAUAGUGGUGGUAUUAAUGCUUUCUUUAAUAAUUUCUUUUAUUUUAAAGCAUUACCUUGUGAUGGUGUAUAUGAAACUGUGUCGGUUGUUGAUAACCUAGGAAAUAAUGUAUUGUGUAUCGAUUCUUCCACUAGCUUGGAUAAAGCAUAUUUAUGGCAUUGUCAUCUUGGACAUGUAAUCAAGAAACGCAUAGGCCAACUCCAAAAGGAUGGAGUCUUGGAUUCGUUUGACCUAAGGUUAGAUGAUAGUUGUGAAUCUUGUUUGCUUGGGAAAAUGACAAAGCCACCCUUCACUGGUAUUUGUGCUAGAGGUGAGGGUUUAUUGGACCUCAUACACACUAAUGUGUAUGGACCCUUCAAAACCGCCACAAGAGAUGCUAACCGCUUCUAUGUGACUUUUACUAAUGAUUUUAGUAGAUAUGGAUAUGUCUACUUAAUCAAGCAUAAGUUAGAUACCUUUGAAAGAUUCAAAGAGUUCAAGCAGGAAGUCAAGAAUCAGUUGGGCAGGAACAUUAAGAUGCUUCGAUCCGAUCAAGGUGGUGAGUAUCUUAGUACAGAGUUCCUUGACUAUCUUAAGGAAUGUGGGAUUAUCUCACAAAUGACACCUCCUAGGACACCACAGCUUAAUGGUGUGGCUGAAAGGCGCAAUCAAACCUUGUUGGAUAUGGUUUGUUCCAUGAUGAGUCGAGCUUCGCUACCAAUCUCAUUUUGGGGGUAUGCCUUAGAGACUGCCGUCCAUAUCCUUAAUCUAGUUCCUACAAUGAAGGUUGCCAAAACACCUCAUGAGAUGUGGAUCGGAAAAGUUCCCAAUCUGGACCACAUAAAGAUUUCCGGUUGCGAGGCUUUUGUGAGGCGCGAGUCUCAUGAUAAGCUUGAACCUCGAAGUAAGAGGUGUAUUUUCAUCGGCUACCCACAAAGAUCGUUUUGUUACCUCUUCUACAGACCUAGUGAUAAUGUGGUCUUUGUAGCAAGGAGAAGAGUCUUUCGCGAGAGAGAAUUCAUGAGCCAAGGAAACAAUGGAAGGCAAAUUGACCUUGAAGAAAUUCAAGAGUCAAGUGGUGAAGGAACCUCAAACCCUAGCAAUCAACCUGAGGAGGAAACUCCUGUUGAUCCGACAGAAGAGUUUGUACCUCUGAGGCGUUCCACAAGAGUUAGGAAUGCACUUGAGUAUUACUAUGGUUUCCAUAUUACUAUGAAAGGUGAUACACUUAUCAGUAAUAGCACACUGGUAAGUCUGGAUGAACUUAACAGCUACACGGAAGCCAUGGCAGGCCCUGAGGCUGCAAAAUGGAAAAAGGCUAUGGAUAGCGAGGGACAAUCCAUGUAUGACAAUCAAGUUUGGAACUUGGUUGACAAUGUACCGGGUCACAAGACAAUCAGGUGCAAAUGGAUAUUCAAGAAGAAGAUCGACAUGGGUGGUAAUGUACACACUUAUAAGGCACAACUGGUUGCGAAGAGCUUUUCUCAAACUCCAUGAGUUGAUUAUGAUGAGACAUUUUCCCCAGUAGCAAAGAUUAAGUCUAUUAGGGUUACGUUAGCCAUUGCUACAUUUCAUGAUUAUGAAAUAUGGCAAAUGGAUGUCAAAACCGCUUUCCUUAAUGGAAAGUUGGCAGAGGAUGUUUACAUGAGUCAGCCAGAGGGUUUUGUCAGUACAGAGUACCCUAAUAGAGUAUGUAAGCUUGAGAAAUCCAUUUACUGAUUAAAGCAAGCACCUCGUAGAUGGAAUCUUUGCUUCGAUGAGAAAGUCAAAGAAUUUGGCUUUUCGAGGAGUGAAGAUGAAUCUUGUGUAUAUGUUAAGCCUAGUGGGAGUAUAGUAAGCUUUUUGGUACUGUAUGUGGAUGACAUACUACUCAUAGGAAAUGACAUCCCAAAUCUGCAGGAAGUUAAGUCCUAGCUUGGGAUGUGUUUCACUAUGAAGGACCUUGGAGAAGCUGUCUAUAUCCUAGGGAUAAGGAUUUUGAGAGACAGGAGUAAAAGACUAAUUGGAGUUAGUUAGAGUACCUACUUGGAGAAGGUGCUGAAUAGAUUCAACAUGUAGAAUUCCAAGAAAGGAGAGUUACCGAUCCAGAGUAACGCCAGACUGAGUAAAACUCAUAGUCCAAGUACAGAGGCUGAGAUAGCAAAAAUGAGUCGAGUACCGUAUGCUUCCGUUGUACGCUUGAUCACGUAUGCUAUGACUUGUACUUGUCCUGAUGUGGCCUUUGAUUUGAGCAUGGUCAGCAUAUAUCAGGGGAACCCUGUCAAGGGUCACUGGACUGUGGUAAAGAACAUUCUCAAGUACCUAUGGAGGACUAAGGACUGGGUCCUUACCCUCGGUGGAAGUGAUGACUUGAGAGUAUUAGGGUAUAGUGUUGCUAGCUUCCAGACUAAUUGGGAUAAUUUACGCUCUCAUUCAGGCUGGGUCUUUACCUUAAAUGGAGGAGCAAUUUCUUGGAAAAGUUCCAAGCAGGACACAAUUGCUGAUUCAACUUGCGAACCAGAGUAUAUAGCAGCAAGCGAGGCAGCAAAGGAGGCUAUAUGGCUAAAGAACUUCAUUGGAGACCUUGGAGUUGUACCAGCUAUAAAGGAGCCUAUAGAGAUUUUCUGUGAUAGAGAAAGUGCAGUUGCCUUAGCAAAGGAACCAAGGGAUCACGGGAGAUCCAGACACAUUGACAGAAAAUAUCAUUUCAUUAGACAUCGAAUAGAAGAAGGACUCUUCGUGGCUAAGAAGGUAUCAUCGGAUGAGAACCCAGCAGAUCCCCUCACGAAGGGACUGGGCAGCCUUAAGCAUCUCCAGCAUACAAGGAGCAUAGGGCUAAAGGAUGAUAUUAGUUUUAGUAGUUAAAUAGCUUUGAAAUCUGUAAAGUGUAAUUGACAUUUGAUGAUGAAUAAAAGUUGUAUUUAUUUAUGAAUAAAGUGUUGUUAUCUUUGGUCAAUCGUUUACUAUCAUUUCAUUUUGCAUGUUUUGACUUUCAGAAUAAUUAUGUUAUGUUAUUUCAUAUUAUCCAAAUUAUCCAUAGUCGGUCAUAUGAUGGAAAUAGAUAUGAAUUAAGACUGUCAUGGGUUGGCUUGUAGAGGUCUGAGAUGUGGGACACAACUACAACACUCAUGAGUUCUCAUAAGUUUUAAGUAUUGGAUUCACCCACGCUCACUGGUAUCACUUCAUGGAAUUUAUCUCGAGUGAUCGUGAGAUGGUAAUAUCAUAUAAGUCUUCAAACCUAGAUAUAUGACUUGUUGCCUAUGAGUUGGUUAUACAUUGAUUGUACGAAAACGCAUUGGUAACUCGAUGUUACAAAAUGUGCCUUUGUGUAUGAUUUAACAAGUAGUAGAACAAGCAUAUGAGUCGAAGUUUAUCUAUUCCUUCUUAGAUUAGAAGCGAUAUUUGUGCCCCAUGCUGAUUUUGUGUUGACCCGUGUAUCGGGCCCGGUCAGAACUAAGUUGAUGUGUUCAAUUAAGUUCUAUGUCAAACAAAUCAGAAAUCGAAAACAAACUGUUGGACAAUAAGUAAGACAUUGUUCCAUGUAUUUGUCUGGCUGAUAUCUAAAACAGAGGAUUAUAUGAUCACUUAUCUUAAAUGGCCUAUCAUCAUCAUCUUAGUUCCAAGAGACCUUGAAAGAGCUACGAUUGCUUAUCGGUUCUUGAAUUCAUUCUUGUAAUUAUAGUGAUUAGACUUAUCCAAGUGGGAGACUGUUGGAUUAGGUGUCUAAGUUCAUAACUAUUUCUGGAAUGUACUUGACCCGAUUAGCAUGGUCCAUUUGGGUUGCAUGGCAUCAUGAAUUUGGAUAGACUAAAAUGAGAGAAAUAACACUUAAGGUUUAUUAAUAUAUUCUAAGUUCUAAUAUAUUAAUAGUAUUAUUUAAUUAGUAUUGACCAAGAAUUAAUUUGGAAUUAAUAAAGUGAUCAAAAGAAGUCUAAUUAAAUAUAUGGGUUGAUUGUGUAAAUCAUCCAUACUUAUAUAGUGGGCUAAUGCUUCACGGAUUAUCAAGUUGGGCUAAAACUCAUCGGAUGCUGUAACAACGUAAAUUUUUCAAAACAAUUUUUUCAUUUUCAAAACAUUCAUUUAUUCACAAAAUAAAAUCACCCAUAUUGUAUCAAAUGUAUUUAUCACAAAAACAUCUCCCCAGAAUCCAAAACAUAAACUUCUCAAGUGUGUACGGAUCAUGUCGGCACCUUCCCGCGCUCAUCACUGGUACCUGAAACACAUCACACAACAACUGUAAGCAUAAAUGCUUAGUGAGUUCCCCAAAAUAUCGCAUACAACACAUACACCACUCAAGGCUAUAAUACGACCCUCCGGUCGAUGUGUCUCAGCGGGAUCCUCCAGUCCCGUAGCUCGUUGGACCCUCUGGUCCGGUCAUAGCUCGUUGGGCCCUCCAACCCGGUCUGUAUCGUUGGACCUUUCGGUCCGGUCUAUAACUACAUACAACAUACACAUAACACAUAACACAUAAUCUCAUACAUAACACAUCAGACCCUCUGGUCUACACAAUAUACCACUCUAGGUAAGUAUAGUGAGAAGACUCACCUCGAUGUCUCGGUAAAUAUCUGACUCGGAAUAAAUGUGAUCUAGCCUCCGCCUAAUCACACAAAGUAAUACACUCAUAAAUACAAUUGUACUCAACCCUAAAAGUCAACAAGGUCAACGGUCAACUUUGACCGGACUCGGCGAGUGCACUAGGGCGACUCAGCGAGUCUACACGUGUCCACUGACUCUCUUGGAUCCUUUCUUGACACGCCGAGUACCUCCUUGACUUGACGAGUUCCACCUGGCAUGAAUCGUAGGACCACCAUGACUCAACUCGCCGAGUCUCAAAAACAACUCGGCGAGUUCCUGCUUGAACUCAGUCCCCCCUGACUCACCCUGACUCACUGAGUCGUUCCGUUAACUCGACAAGUCCACUCAUUAAGUGAUUACGGGCAAACUUCAUACUACUCGUUGAGUCUGUUCUUCAGACUCGGCGAGUUCAUGCCAUGCAUAAACUCAAAACCACUUCUGAGGUCAGAUGUGUUCCAUACAAUCAUAGAUCUGGCCUCCCCAAGCAUGAUAAUCACGUAAAGUCCAAACCUUGAUGCUUAAACAACAACUAUUUUCUCUUAUAUGAUGUUCUAGCCCCAUAUUUCAUAACCCAUGGUCAAAACUCCCAUGAAUCCUCAUAAAGCUUGAGGAAUAAAGCUUCUCUGGACCUCUAUGGAUCCCAUUCCAAGCCUCAUCACAAAUAGGGACGAAAUGGACAUCAAAUCUAACCAACAAAGGGGUCAAGAAACCUUAAACCCCCAUGUUCAUCAUAACAACAGAAAGGGAACCAAAAUAUUACCUCCAAAGUGAUGCUCUGAGCUCCGAAUUCGAAGAAUGUCCACCUUCCUUACUUCCUCUUAGCUAGAACCUCAUUUUCCUUGCCAAACAACGCCUCAAAGGUUAACAAUGGCCUCCUCUCUCUCCCAAAACGCUCAAGAUCUCUUUAGGGUUUCUCUCUGGGGUUGGUGGCCGCAAAUGACACCAACUCACCGAGUCUCCUCACAAAACUCAAAAAUAAAAGGAUAAAAAUAAUACCUGGGAAUCCGAAUGUUACAAUUCUCCCCCACUAGAAUCAGACUUCGCCCUCGAAGUCUCACUCUCCAAAUAACUCUGGAUGCUGCUUACGCAUCUCACGCUCNGCUCUGGCUCCCAAGUCAACUCUGACCCUUUCCGAUGCUGCCACUAGAACUGCACCAGUGGCACCUCUUUAUUCCUCAGGACCUUGAUCUUCCGAUCUCCGGUCGCCACUGGUCUCUCAUCAUAAUUCAGGCUCGCAUCCACGUGAAUAUCUUCUAGUGGCACUACUGCCGACUCAUCGGCUAUGCACUUUCGCAACUGCGACACGUGGAAAGUGUUGUGAGUCUGACCCAACUCUACUGGCAACUCCACACGAUAGGCUACCCUGCCUACCCUCGCAAUCACCCUGAAAGGACCAAUAUAUCAGGGCCCCAUCUUGCCCUUCUUCCUAAAUCGAAUCACUCCUUUCCAAGGAGAGAUCUUCAGUAGCACAAAGUCGCCGACCUGAAACUCAAGCUCGGUGUCACACCCCAAAACCAAGAACGGCGGAAACGUUCUGGGGCGGAGGACGUCAUGUACAGUAUCACAACAAUGAAAAGUACUAAACAAGAAACAACAUCAUCCAUUGCAUUAAUAAUAUAAUUAUUAUACAAGUGUGUUUUGUCAAAUUAUNUUCUGUCAAAUUUUGAUAAACACUAAAGCAUAAAUCAAAAUGAAAGAUAAGUCUUGAACAAGCUUCAUCUUCCUUUCUCCUUGCAUCGGUACCUGUCUAUGAUGACCUGAGGAUACAAGUAAUUUUGAAAGCGAGUAUCAGCUUUGAAGCUGGUGAGAUCAUAAGUAUUUUAGUGUCUUAAUUUGUAAGUAAGUAUUUGUAUGUAUGAAUUUGUAAGUAUAUGAAUUGUAAGUAUUGAAAGUGUAUAUGAACUGUAAGUAUGAAAAUGUUUGUAAAACAACUGUAAAUGUUUGAAAAACCCUAGAAAUCCCUAUGAUUCCUAUUAGUAACAAAAGGGGUCUUCUACCAAGACUUAACUGUUCUCAAUGUAGUCUUCUAUCAAGACCUAACUAUUCUAAAUGUAGUCUUCUACCAAGACCUAACUGUUCUGAAUGUAGUCUUCUACCAAGACCUAGCUGUUCUGAAUGUAGUCUUCUACCAAGACCUAACUGUUCUGAAUGUAGUCUUCUACCAAGACCUAGCUGUAUUAGUAUUACCCUUUGGAACAAGGGCAACUAACAAUGUUAACUGAAGACAUCCAUAGAUGUACAUUUACCUCUGCUGCUAACAGUUGGGUAUAGGAAUAGUCAGUCCCCAAAAGUAUAUAUGUAAUGGUAUCAACUGUUGACAUCCGUGGAUGUGCUUUUACCUCUGUAGCUAACAGAGAUUCUAGGAAUGGUUAAUCCCGCAACGUAUCCUUUGGCACAUGUGACCAUAUCUAUGUAAUAGAAUGGUAAUGUACUGUAAUGUUCAAGCUGUAGUGUACGUGCUCUCUAUCUAGCAAGUAUAGUAAUGUACUGUAAUGUGCUAGUUGUAGUCUACGUGCUCUGUAUCUAGCGAGUAUAGUAAUGUACUGUAAUGUGCUAGUUGUAGUCUACGUGCUCUCUAUCUAUCAAGUAUAGUAAUGUACUGUAAUGUUAUAGCUAUAGUGUACAUGUUGUCUAUCUAGUAAGUAUAGUAAUGUAUUGUAAUGUUCUAGCUGUAGUGUACAUGCUCUCUAUCUAGCAAGUAUUGUAAUGUACUGUCAUGUUCUAGCAAGUAUUGACUCAUGAAUGAACGGACUCAUUGUAUGGUAUCGCGUUCUAGUAAUAGUUCUAGUAUCUUCCUAAACUACCUGCAUGGUAGUUUACUAGUGAUCUAACUGGUACGUAUGGACAUGGAUGUAUACCCUUGCUACCCAAGGGCAUGGGUUGAACUGGAAGGGCCUUUAUGACUAUAUAUGUACAUAUGUUAUAUAACUAAUAUUUAAACGACCUUCGGACGAGUACCCGAUAUCCCACCAGACCACAUCUCAAGCGCGAAAAGGAAAUAGGGUGGAUAGCCUUCCUAAUUCUUUUAAACAUUUCUUAUAUAAGUAUACAUAUAGAGGCAUACAAUUUAUAAUAUAAAAGCAUAAAUAAGUUUUGUAAAACCUUUGAACAUAAUUAUUAUCUUAAGAAAAGAUCGACUUGAUGUCAAUCUAUAAAACGGUUUGAAGGCAUGGGUUUGAUAAAACAGUUUAGUAUAAAGAAACAUUUGUUUUAAACACAAUUGUAAAUAAGUUUGAAAAGUAAUAUACGGAGAAAAAUGUACAGAGAAAUAAGGAGUUUUAAACACAUAAAGUGUUUAUGAAAGACAUUUGAAGGAAACUGUUUAGUAAAACGGCUAAUGAGUAGCCAAUCAUUUGAAUGCUGCNUUUCACUUCCUCCCCCCCCCCCCCCCCCAUAAAACAUUUAAAAACAGUUUAAAACGUUGAUUGAGGGGUAAGAACUCACCUGUAGUAAGUGUAUCGGAAGGAAGUGUCAGAUAAGUGUUAUACGUGUUAUACGUCUAAUAAACAACUAAUAAACAAAUUUAAGACACUCUAGGACAUGCUAAACACUUUAUACAAGUGUUAUACGUCUCAAGGGUUGCAUCUAAGUGUUGUAGGGAAAGGCUAGUGUGUUUGGGGUUCAAGGGUAAACUCCCUUGGAGUUUACGGUUUUGAUGGUCAUGACACCAAGAGUUUACGGCAUCAAACUCUAGAGUUUACGGUCGUAAACUCUAGUCCUAAUGACUAGGUGUUGUUUGGUGGUUUAACAAGCCUCUUGGAGAAAUUCUACUAAGUGGUUUGGCCUUUGGAAUGGACUAGGGCAUCAAAACAACUCAUUUGAGGAGUUUACGGCCUCAUGGCGUUUUCCCUUAGGUUCAUAAACCGUAAACACAAAUGGAAGAGUGUAAAUCCAUGUUUUCAAGUCCCUAACACAGUUAGGGAAGUGUAUGAGCUAGUUUCUAAGCCUAAGGAAGGAAAUUAACCCAUUUAGACAUACUUUUGGGUGUUCACGGUUUUAGGAGAUCCCCAAACCGUAAACACCUAUAUUUGUGGGCGUUUGAUGUUUUUCAAGGCUUAAACUCAACAAAGGAAGGUUUAAACAUGUCAAGGAUGGUUUAAACAUCAAAACUAGGUCUUAGAUAAGGACUUAGGCACACUUUGGUGCCCUUUAUGGUGUUUACGACCCAAGAACAUUCUUGGACCGUGAACAGCUUCAAUCUUGUGUUCUUGACAUAUUUUCUUGAUGUUUAAAUGUAGUACUAGCUUCAAAUCACUCAAGGAUAGAAGCACUUACUAUUGGAAGGCUUGAUUUAUGCUAAAAGGCCAAGAACACUUAGUGUGUGUUCCUGGUGUUCUUGGUGUUUUGGAAAAUCUAAACAAAAACCGGAAAUGAAUGGAUGAAUAGAUGCACAAACACUAGAUUAAGUGUUUUACUAACUUGAAAGGGUUAAAACACUUACAAGAUUGAAGAUUUGGAAUUAAAUCUUGGAUGAUACUUGAGAGAAAACUUGGAGUUUACUCUUUUGACUUUUGGGGAGUAAACACAAAUGACUAACUUUUUGGGGAGUAAACUCAUACAUAGGCAUGAGUUUACGGUUUUGGUGAUUUCUAAACCCAAAACAUAAAAGUUUGGUCGGGUGUUUCUAAUACGCGAAGUGUUUGCGGUUUUCAAAAAUCAAAACCCGAGACGACACUUUCUUUCACCCGUUCGUUUAAAAGUAAUAUUAAAAUAACCAAACGAACUUUAUAUUUCUUAAAAAUAAGAAAUAAUGACAUUGACUUAUGAUACGAAGGGGUUGACUUUUAGGGUUUGAUCGAAUGGAAAUUUCGGGUUGUCACAUCAUCCCCCCGUUAAAGGGAAUUUCGUCCCGAAAUUAGAAUUUAGAUAAGGAAGUAGGCAUGAAUGAUCAAGUCGAGAGGAGGAAACUUCCUAAUCGAUUGGUUCUAGAGCUCCUAAGAGAAAUCGGGUCCUCGGUUGGUAUUCCAACAAACCUUCACUAACGGGAGACUGCGUUGCUUAGUCCGCUUGACCUCUCGGUCGAGGGUCACUGCGGUUCAAAUACGAAGGCGAGGAUCUUUACGAGUGGACUUACAAGAGUCCUACCGGAAAGGUAUGGUUUCACGAUCGAGACGCGAAGAGUAAAAUGUACGUUGCUGAGUUCGCGAAGUAGGUCUAGUUUGUGCGAGGUACAGGACUGAUUCUGGUAAGAAUCCCGGAGGUCCUAUCUAUCUUGGAUUUUUCUUUCCACGCGAUACGAAGCGUAUUAAGCCAUUCCCGAAGUGAGUUUUUCCUAAAGAACUUGGUCUCUCACUUGGAGCUUCCAAGGGUUCUUUCUCUUGCUAAACUUCCAAGUCAAGGGCCACUCCUUGCUGGGUCAAAGUCGAAAGGGUUCAUGUAAUUUGCUAGAAGUUCCGAAUGAACUAUGACAGUAGGUCUGUAAGACCUAGAAUGUGGCGAAUUUCUGUCGGCGUCUCUGGUGUCGACAAAUUCUCAACGGUUUUGACAAAUUGAAAGAGUACUCAAAAUUUUCCACAUCACUAAUAGUGUCGUAGGAAAUCUAACCCUUAAAUUUCAAAACCCGUGUUUAGAGAACUUUAUGUAAGUUCCUCCGACGGUAAUGUUCCCAUGGGUUCCUUCUUACUACGAGGGUAGAUAAGUAAGUCGUUACAUGGAGAAUGACGAACUGAUCCAAGUAAGAAAGGCGGACUCUGUUCCUUAAACUCAUGAAAACUAUGGGCGUAUUGGUCCUAUCUGAAGGGUAUCACUACGGAUUCGAAGUGUCCGCAUUGAGUUCGGAAGAUAGUCUUCCAGACAUNCCGGACAUCCUUCCCUAACACUCGAACUGGUGAUAUUCGGAUCUCAGACCCAUUUCUGAAAGUUAUUCUUUCCUUGCGUUUUCUCAACCAUUUCAUCUAUGUGAGGCAGAGAUAACGAUUUCUAAUGAAAAAUCUUGACGAAGUCCUCGAUAUCCGAGGUACAUAUGAUGCAAUCCGUCGAUCUCUAGAAGAAUAAGACCGGGGUUCUCCAGGGUGAGAUGCCUAGUCUUCUAAUUAUAUUUCUUCGUAGUUCGUUAAGUUGUCUGUACUGUUCUUGUAUCUCCGUAGAUGUUUAGACUGUAGGGCGAUCUGUUUACGGGAGUCAUACUGGGUUCUAAGUUUGUUCACAUGACGAUGCGAUUACUCGUAGACUUAGGUAGUUCUCCGUCCUAAAGUUCAUAUUAGAAUUCAUACAUGUUUUCACAAUCACAAUCUCGUGUAUACGAGUCAUGUAUAAUUAAAACUGAAAAGGUAGUCGAAUAACUGAUUCUUCUUUAAGCUCAUAUCCCAUUGGAGAAAAAGAAGUUAAAGUGGAAUCAUCAAUUCUAAACCUGUAGAACCUUGAUUAUAUAUUACCCUUAUGUAUACAUUCCUCAGCGAUAGAUCAACCGUAUGAAUCUUUGGGUUGAACUUGACGUACUGCACGAGUAGUACUUCGGGGAUUCCUUCGGAAAGAAAAUAACUAAGAGGUACUCCUGGCAUGAGUACUUCGGUCUUCUGAUAUGACGGUUUCGCUAACAAGACGUUUACUGAUAAGGAGACGUACGUAUAAAGCUGUUUUCGUGAGGAUCAAAUUGAAUCUAAUCGUAUGAUAAUGUCGGAAUCAUACAGAAACUUUAAAGACAUUAGAUUUGAACAUAAGGCGUUUACAGACAAAACAUAACCAUGCAACCAUGAACAGAGUUACAGUACUUUAGAUUUUCUACCGGACUAUUGCUGCGAAUAAGGUAUACUACAAAAGUUAAGUAUAUGCAGCAUGAGAAUCUCUUUACAGACCGGAUUUUGCCAAAAGGUAUUACUCUAGUUGCACUAGUUUUGGAUAGUUUAUAAGUCUGUUACAACGAAACGCAUUAAUUACAUUAACGUGGGUUCCGGAGCAAGUUCUCCAGCAGCUGUGAUCCUGAGAAUCCUCUCAUCUACGCCAGAGUUCUUUGUUAUAGGGCAAUCCUUCUUGACGUGCCCUAUUUCCCCGCAUUGGUGGCAUGACUGGCUAGUACUAGCUUUGGUGAAGGGAUUGCGGUGUUUAGCCAGUGUUAUGUGGAAACGAGUGCCUUCCUCGUUACUCCACCUUGAAAAUUGCUUCCUAAAUCGUUCGACGUUAUAACUACUCUCGUGUGUAGGGUUAGUCCCGAUGAAAGGGACUUGAGUGAUGGGUCGUGCCGGUGCUCCAUAGUUACGAGCAUGGUGCCCUAUGUUUAGGCAAUUGCAACAUUGCAUCUCAUGGCAAGCCCCAUGAUGAUGGAAACUACACUUAUCACACUUCGGGAGUUUUCCCUCGUAUGGCCUGCUCGGUACGGGAAUGGCAGGAGUUUCCACUUGCUGCUGUUGCAUAGCCAGCCUUUGGGAUUUCUUGCGUUAUUUCUGGGCUUGACGCUUUCGUUUCUUGUUCUCUGCUUUUCGGCUUUGCGAGCCUGUGACUGUUACUGUUUGGCGACUUCCUGGAUGGAUACCACGAUUGGAAACUUCAUUCCCAUCAGCAGCAUUGAUUGUGCUGAUAGCGCUACGGUGCGCAAGGACCGCGGUUACGGCAGCCACCACGGNNNNNNNNNNNNNNNNNNNNNNNNNNNNNNNNNNNNNNNNNNNNNNNNNNNNNNNNNNNNNNNNNNNNNNNNNNNNNNNNNNNNNNNNNNNNNNNNNNNNNNNNUGUAAUUGCUGUUUGGAAGGUAGCGGCGUCCAUAGGAAAAGCGGAGGUUUCGCUGUUCGAUUGAUUGUUUCCGGAUGACGACAUGAUUCUAUAACACGAAAGAUAAGGAUUUUGUGAGCGAUUCUGGUUGACCCUUGAUGUACUUAGAUUGUUCAUGUAAAGAGUAUGACUAUGAUCUCGAAAGUUUGACCUACAUCCCUAUGAUGCAGUCCUAGCAUGAAUUGGAAGUAUGUUCACGGAGGUUUGACCUACAUCCCUAUGAUGCAGUCCUAGUACGGCAUGGAAGUGAGUUUGUAGAAUGGUCUCAAGACGUUUGUCGUUCAAGUCGAGGUAUCGUGGGUUAGUGAAUAACAAGAUCCAACCACUGAAAGAGACUUGGAAAUGUCUCCGGAGUUAAAUUACUAUAGUCCAAUGAUUUGACUAAAGCAUGUUUCAGAUAGACUCCAAUGAAAUUAUGAUAAGACUACUUGAAUAAAGAAGGACACGGAAGUUAACCGACUAUCAAUAUCUUUGAUAUUCAUAACGUAAAGAUUCAGGAAAAUAACCUUGUAAAGGUCUUACAUCAUAUCUAGAGAAGAUAGUUCUUGACAUCAUAAAGAUCUAACCAAAAGUACUUACAGUACCAGAUAGUUUCAUAGAAAAUGCCACAUCGGGCAUAGACGGAAAAAUGAUUCUUUUUAAUAAAGAAAAUAAAGUAAAGCGUCUACUACUGGCGACGGUCAUCCCUCUGGUGAACUCUUAGUUCAGCCAAUUGACGUUCCACGUCAAGUAGGUGUCUUUCGUACACCCUCUGGUGUAUUCGGAGCUCUAUGACUUCGGCUCGUGAUUCAGCCAGUGCUUGCAGCAGGGUUUCAUGGUUUCUCUCAGAUCUCUCGCAAGCAUCUUCUAGACGAAUGGUGCGGAGGGUAUGCAUUCUCGCAUUGGUGACAACUUCAGUGAUCUGAUGUAGGGCUGUCCUACCUUGAAUCUCAUUUUGGGCCACUCUGUGGACCAAGAUUGGCAAGACUCUGUCUGUUGAGCCUCCAUUGUUCAGGUCAUAAAAGCUUCGGUCACCAUCAUAUGGUAUGGGCUGAUCUUGUCCUUGGCUCCAUGUUUCCAAACAUUCCACCCAUGGAGGCGUCGGACCAUGAAAAGCCAGACGAGGGUUAGGAAUUGCAAUGGGAGUUGCCUGGGAUAGGUUCUCAACCUUUGGUUCGGAGUUAGCCCGUCUGAAAGGUUUUCAUCAUGGUGAUCAUUUACGGGGAUAGAAUGUUCAUUGUCUGGUUCAUCUCCAAACCAACCAGCAGUGACUUCGUUCGGAAGAUACUGGUUGCCGUGGGGAUCGAGUCCAGCCAUGUUAUCUAUGCGAGAAUUGGGGUAAGAAAAUAAUUAUUAGACGAAUUAUCUAGAUAAUUAUUUAGAAAAUAUUCAUUAGUUACAUCACUAUUUGUGAAGUGCAUACCAAUUAUAUGUAAUUGAAACAGGAUAGGCCUUCGAAUAAGUGAUCUUAACUCCAUAUUCACACAAAAUAGGGGUGAAGUAAAAUUUUCACAGAUUCUAAGUCUAUAAGAUCCUAAUUACAUAUAGCCUUAGUGUAUCCACUUAGCAACAAUCAACUUCGUAAUGAAGAUCCCGUUUUAGUUCUCAAGUAUAAAGUACUUAUAGUAACACCAAAUACUCCUAUAGUAUUUUAAGUUUAAUGUCAUGUUCUACUGUUCUCAUUGUGGUAGGGUUGGUAAGAUUUUAGCAUUGUUUCAACCACACAACUACACUUAGGCACAUGCUAGUCAACCCUCGGAUAAUAUAGCUGAUCAGGCUAUAUCUUCCCAGUUUUAACCAUAUGUCUCUAAGCCCACUUGUGUUGCCCAAUAAUCGUAAUUCUUUUGUAUUGUCCUAGUGACACUGAUUUUAGUAUGAAUGUAGGUACGUAUACUUUUUUAAAUAUUUUAUUAUUUAAAGUAUAAACUCUUGGUCAGAGUAUUUUUAAUCCCUUAUGUAUUUAUAGUUAGUAUAUCUUUUAUGGGUUGAUAUACUUAAUUCACUAUAAACAAUGCUCUGAUACCAAUCUGUCACACCCCAAAACCAAGAACGACGGAAACGUUCUGGGGCGGAGGACAUCAUGUACGGUAUCACAACAAUGAAAAGUAGUAAACUAGCAACAACAUCAUCCAUUGCAUUAAUAAUAUAAUUAUUAUACAAGUGUGUUCUAUCAAAUUAUAAUAGACACUAAAGCAUAAAUUAAAAUGAAAGAUGAGUGUUGAACGAGCUCCAUCUUCUCUAAACCUAGCAUCUGUACCUGUCUAUGAUGACCUGAGGAUACAAGUAAUUUUGAAAGCGAGUAUCAGCUUUGAAGCUGGUGAGAUCAUAAGUAUUUUAGUGUCUUAAUUUGUAAGUAAGUAUUUGUAUGUAUGAAUUUGUAAGUAUAUGAAUUGUAAGUAUUGAAAGUGUAUAUGAACUGUAAGUAUGAAAAUGUUUGUAAAACAACUGUAAACGUUUGAAAAACACUAGAAAUCCCUAUGAUUCCUAUUAGUAACAAAAGGAGUCUUCUACCAAGACUUAACUGUUCUCAAUGUAGUCUUCUAUCUAGACCUAACUGUUCUCAAUGUAGUCUUCUACCAAGACCUAACUGUUCUGAAUGUAGUCUUCUACCAAGACCUAGUUGUUCUGAAUGUAGUCUUCUACCAAGACCUAGCUGUAUUAGUAUUACCCUUUGGAACAAGGGCAACUAACAAUGUUAACUGAAGACAUCCAUAGAUGUACAUUUACCUCUGUUGCUAACAGCUAGGUAUAGGAAUAGUCAGUCCCCAAAAGUAUACCUGUAAUGAUAUCAACCGUUGACAUCCGUGGAUGUGCUUUUACCUCUGUAGCUAACAGAGAUUCUAAGAAUGGUCAAUCCCUCAAUGUAUCCUCUGGUACUAGGAUAUUAAAUCCAAUCUAUGUCGUCGAUUAUGUGAUUGAAUCACAAGGUAAAGAUAAGAAUGAGGAUUAUAUAACAGAAUCUAUACAUAUAACAUGUACUAGUAGUUCUUGUAAGUGUACUCAUGUAAAUGUGAUAAUGCGACCAUAUCUAUGUAAUAGUAUGGUAAUGUACUAUAAUGUUCUAGCUGUAGUGUACGUGCUCUCUAUCUAGCAAGUAUAGUAAUGUACUGUAAUGUUCAAGCUGUAAUGUACGUGCUCUCUAUCUAGCAAGUAUAGUAAUGUACUGUAAUGUUCUAGCUGUAGUGUACGUGCUCUCUAUCUAGCAAGUAUAGUAAUGUACUGUAAUGUUCUAGCUGUUGUAUACAUGCUCUCUAUCUAGCAAGUAUUGUAAUGUACUGUAAUGUUCUAGCAAAUAUUGACUCACUAAUGAACUAACUCAUUGUAUGGUAUCGCGUUCUAGUAAUAGUUCUAGUAUCUUCCUAAACUACCCGCAUGGUAGUUUACUAGUGAUCUAACUGGUACGUAUGGACAUGGAUGUAUACCCUUGCUACCCAAGGGCAUGGGAUGAACUGGAAGGGCCUUUAUGACUAUAUAUGUACAUAUGUUAUAUAACUAAUAUUUAAACGACCUUCGGACGAGUACCCGAUAUCCCACCAGACCACAUCUCAAGCGCGAAAAGGAAAUAGGGUGGAUAGCCUUCCUAAGUCUUUUAAACAUUUCUUAUAUAACUAUACAUAUAGAGGCAUGCAAUUUAUAAUAUAAAAGCAUAAAUAAGUUUUGUAAAACCUUUGAACAUAAUUAUUAUCUUAAGAAAAGAUCGACUUGAUGUCAAUCUAUAAAACGGUUUGAAGGCAUGGGUUUGAUAAAACGGUUUAGUAUAAAGAAACAUUUGUUUGAAACACAAUUGUAAAUAAGUUUGAAAAGUAAUAUACAGAGAAAAAUGUACAGAGAAAUAAGGAGUUUUAAACACAUAAAGUGUUUAUGAAAGACAUUUGAAGGAAACUGUUUAGUAAAACGGCUAAUGAGUAGCCAAUCAUUUGAAUGCUGCUUAUUAAUCACAUGUGAUUGAUAUAAUAAUUAGCAUAAUUCUACUUGUAUCCCCCCCCCAUAAAACAUUUAAAAACAGUUUAAAACAUUGAUUAAGGGGUAAGAACUCACCUGUAGUAAGUGGAUCGGAAGGAAGUGUGUGAUAAGUGCUUGGUGUCAAGUGAAGACUUAGACACGCACGAAGAUCCUAAUAACAUAUAUGGAUAUAUGUAUACACACAAUUGGUCUUUAAACAACUAAUAAACAAAGUUAAGACACUCUAGGACAUGCUAAACACUUUAUACAAGUGUUAUAAGUCUCAAGGGUUGCAUCUAAGUGUUGUAGGGAAAGGCUAGUGUGUUUAGGGUUCAAGGGUAAACUCCCUUGGAGUUUACGGUUUUGAUGGUCAUGACACCAAGAGUUUAUGGUAGUAAACUCUAGAGUUUGCGGUCGUAAACUCUAGUCCUAAUGACUACGUGUUGUUUGGUGGUUUAACAAGCCUCUUGGAGCAAUUCUACUAAGUGGUUUGGCCUUUGGAAUGGACUAGAGCAUCAAAACAACUCAUUUGACGAGUUUACGGCCUCAUGGAGUUUUCCCUUGGGUUCAUAAACCGUAAACCCAUAUGGAAGAGUGUAAAGCCAUGUUUUCAAGUCCCUAACACACUUAGGGAAGUGUAUGAGCUAGUUUCUAAGCCUACGGAAGGAAAUUAACUCAUUUAGACAUACUUUUGGGUGUUCACGGUUUUGGGAGAUCCCCAAACCGUAAACACCUAUAUUUGUGGGCAUUUGAUGUUUUUCAAGGCUUAAACUCAACAAAGGAAGGUUUAAACAUGUCAAGGAUGGUUUAAACAUCAAAACUAGGUCUUAGAUAAGGACUUAGGCACACUUUGGUGCCCUUUAUGGUGUUUACGACCCAAGAACAUUCUUGGACCGUGAACACCUUCAAUCUUGUGUUCUUGACAUAUUUUCUUGAUGUUUAAAUGUAUUACUAGCUUAAAAUCACUCAAGGAUAGAAGCACUUACUAUUGGAAGGCUUGAUUUGUGCUAAAAGGCCAAGAACACUUAGUGUGUUCCUGGUGUUCUUGGUAUUUUGGAAAAUCUAAACAAAAACCGGAAAUGAAUGGAUGAAUAGAUGCACAAACACUAGAUUAAGUGUUUUACUAACUUGAAAGGGUUAAAACACUUACAAGAUUGAAGAUUUAGAAUUAAAUCUUGGAUGAUACUUGAGAGAAAACUUGGAGUUUACUCUUUUGACUUUUGGGGAGUAAACACAAAUGACUAACUUUUUGGGGAGUAAACUCAUACAUAGGCACGAGUUUACGGUUUUGGUGAUUUCUAAAUCCAAAACANGGCCAAGAACACUUAGUGUGUGUUCCUGGUGUUCUUGGUGUUUUGGAAAAUCUAAACAAAAACCGGAAAUGAAUGGAUGAAUAGAUGCACAAACACUAGAUUAAGUGUUUUACUAACUUGAAAGGGUUAAAACACUUACAAGAUUGAAGAUUUAGAAUUAAAUCUUGGAUGAUACUUGAGAGAAAACUUGGAGUUUACUCUUUUGACUUUUGGGGAGUAAACACAAAUGACUAACUUUUUGGGGAGUAAACUCAUACAUAGGCACGAGUUUACGGUUUUGGUGAUUUCUAAAUCCAAAACAUAAAAGUUUGGUCGGGUGUUUCAAAUACGCGAAGUGUUUGCGGUUUUCAAAAAUCAAAGCCCGAGACGACACUUUCUUUCACCCGUUCGUUUAAAAAUAAUAUUAAAAUAACCAAACAAACUUUAUAUUUCAUAAAAAUAAGAAAUAAUGACAUUGACUUAUGAUACAAAGGGGUUGACUUUUAUGGUUUGACCGAAUGGAAAUUUCAGGUUGUCACACUCGGACUGGCGUCUGUCCGCAAACUCUUCUGACGACUCUGAGUGGUCAACAACCUCUGUCUGACCUGCUGGAUCUGCUCUGUCGUCCGAAGCACAAUCUCGAUACUACCCAUCACGCGCUGCCCUACUUCUCCCCAGCAGAUAGGGGUCCGACACCUCCUCCCAUACAACAGCUCAAAGGGCGGCAUGCCAAUGCUCGAGUGAUGGCUGUUAUUGUAAGAGAACUCUGCCAAGGGCAAAUACAUGUCCCAACUUCCGCCGAAAUCCAACACACAUGCUCGGAGCAUGUCCUCGAGCGUCUGAAUCAUCCGUUCACUCUGCCUGUCGGUCUGUGGGUGGUACACGGUACUAAAAUGCAGUUUCGUACCCAAUUCCUCAUGAAACUUCUUCCAGAAUCUGGAAGUGAAACAUACAUCUCGAUCUGAGACAAUCGAAAUCGGUACUCCAUGCCACGAUACUACCUCUCUCACGUACAUCUCCGCCAAAUUCUCCGCGGAAGAGCUCUCAUUGAUGGCCAGGAAAUGAGCACUCUUUGUCAACCUAUCCACAAUCACCCAAAUUGCAUCGACACCCCCUCGCGGUUCUUGGCAAUUUGGUGAUGAAAUCCAUGGCAAUUUGUUCCCAUUUCCACUCGGGAAUCUCUAAUGGCUGCAACUUACCAUGAGGACACUGAUGCUCGGCCUUAACCCUGCGAGAGGUCAAGCAUCUCUCUACAAACCAUGCGACAUCCCUCUUCAUACAGGGCCACCAAUAAUCCUUUUUUAGGUCCAAAAACAGCUUAGUGGCCCCGGGAUGGAUCAAGAAUUUCAAUUGAUAAGCCUCCUCCAUCAAAAUGGUACGCAUCCCGCCCACGGACGGUACCUAAAUCCGACCCUGAAAUAUCAUAAGCCCCCGGCUAUCGGUAACGAACUCCGAUACCAGCCCGACAACUCGUUCCCUCUUCUGGCUCUCAGGCUGCACAGCCUCAGCCUGGGCCCCUCGUAUAGCAUCCAAAAUCGGGGUCAUCACCGUCAAUCUCAAACAUACAUCUCGCAAUGGGGCGCUCUCCACCCUACGGAUCAGUACAUCGGCUACAACAUUAGCCUUGCCCGGGUGGUACAGGAUCUCAAAAUCAUAAUCCUUGACCACAUCCAACCACCUCCUCUGUUGCAUAUUUUGGUUGGGCUGAUCCAUCAAAUACCUCAAGCUCUUGUGGUCUGUGUAUAUCGUACACCGAACCCGUUACAGGUAGUGUCGUCAGAUCUUGAGAGCGAACACUACCACUCCCAGCUCCAAAUCAUGAGUGGGAUAUCUUGACUCAUGAGGCUUAAGCUGCCUCGAUGCAUAUGCUAACACAUGCCCCCUCUGCAUAAGCACCGCUCCCAAUCCGGAUAUCGAUGCGUCACAAUAAACCACAAAAUCCUCCAUACCUUCCGGAAGGGCUAACACUGGGGCUUUGCAUAACUUCCUGCGAAGUGUCUCGAACGAGGUAUGCUGCUCCGGACCCCAAGAAAACGCAACACCCUUUCGGGUCAACUUGGUGAGUGGCACGGCGAUCUUGGAGAAAUCCUUAAUAAAUCUCCGAUAAUAGCCGGCCAAUCCCAGAAAACUCCUGAUCUUGGUGGGUGAUCUCGGCACCUCCCACCUCAUAACCACCUCAAUAUUGGCCGGGUCGACUAAAACCCCCUUCUAGUUAACGAGAUGCCCCAAAAACUGGACCUCUCGUAACCAGAACUCACAUUUGGAGAACUUGGCAUAAAGUCUCUCCGAUCUCAGAACUCCGAGGAUCUCCCUCAAAUGCUCUUCAUGCUGCUCUCUGGAUCUCGAAUACACCAGAAUGUUGUCGAUGAACACGAUCACCGAGCGGUCCAACAUUGGUCUGCACACCCUGUUCAUGAGAUCCAUGAACACCGCUAGUGCGUUGGUGAGUCCGAAAGGCAUCACCACGAAUUCGUAAUGCCCAUAAUGAGUCCGGAAGGCUGUCUUCUGUACGUCAUCCUCCCGCACCCUCACCUGGUGAUACCCAGACCUCAAAUCGAUCUUGGAGAACCAAGAUGUUCCCUGCAAUUGAUCAAACAAAUCAUCGAUCCUUGGCAACGGGUAACGGUUCUUGACCGUUAGCUUAUUCAGCUCAUGAUAAUCGAUGCACAUCCGGAGCGAGCCAUCCUUCUUCUUGACAAAAAAGGAUAGGCGCUCCCUAAGGCGAACUGCUCGGCCUGAUAAAUCCCUUCCCUAACAGUUCUUGAAGCUGCGAGGACAACUCCUGCAUCUCCGGAGGCGCAAGGCGAUACGGCGCCUUAGCGAUAGGCCCAGCUCCUGGAACCAACUCAAUACCGAACUUUACUUGCCUCUCCGGAGGCACACCCGGCAAGUCCUCUGGAAUCACAUCCGGAAACUCACGCACUAUCGGAACCUCAUCAACUGACUUCGGUCUCUCAAUAUCAACCCUCGCAUCCAUCACAUAUGCCACAAAACCCCUACAGCCCUCUUGUAGACUCUGUCUCGCUCUGCCGGCCAAACAAAAUGCUGACCCCGUACGUGUACCCUCACCGUACACCGUAAGAACUCCCCCACUAGGGUCUCGAAUCGUCACCAAUUGACGCUCGCAGUCUAUCAUAGCUCCAUAUCGGCUCAACCAAUCCAUACCUACUAUAACACACACAUCCCCCAUCGCAAUCGGGACCAGAUCUAUCGGGAACUCCACACCGAAGAUCUCAAGGACACAUCCUCGAAUCACAUCUGAAGCAUACACAGCUCGCUCAUCAGCUAUGGAAACUCGCAGAGGCCGAUCCAAUGCCUCUCGAUGGGUGCUCAUAUGCUGACUAAAUGCUAUGGAAACAAACGUCCGACUCGCACCCGAGUCAAAUAACACCAAUGCAGGCACAGAAUUCAGAAGAAAAGUACCUACGCAUAUGAUCAUAUAAGCAUAAAAUCUUAACUCAAACAAAAGAUGAAAAGAAAACACAUACCAGCCACAACAUCGGGCGUCGUGCGGACCUCCUCCGCAGUCAACUGGAAUGCUCUCCCACGAGCCCUCGGGGCCUCGUCCUUCACCGGCCGAACCUCGGUAACCCUAGCAGCAGGCGCAGAUCCCUGCGUUGAUCCCUGAAGAAGCUACGGGCACUCAGCCUUCCGAUGGCCGGUCUGGUUGCAAUGAAAGCAAACCGAGAAUCCCUUGGGGCAUUCCCUCACGAUAUGCCCCUCCUUCCCACACUUGUAACAUACCCCAGCUCUGCAUGACCCCUCAUGGCUCUUACCGCACUUCCCACAAGUGCGGCCCUUCGCGCCCCCAAAUCUCGAAUCAGCGGAUCUAGCCCGCUUGGCUGGCGGCUGAGACUGGGCCAGCCGCCGAUCCAUCCUCUGAGACUCGGCCUCCUCCCUGGCCUGAGUCUCCAGCUCGAUCUCCCUCUUCCGACCAUUUGCCUGGAGCUCAGCAAAUGUCCGGUAAGUCGAGUUCGCCACGAACUCUCGAAUAUCUCUCCACAGAACACCCAGAUAACGGCUCAUACAAGCCUGCUCAGUCGACACCUGCUCAGGGCAAAACAUCACCCUCUCAUGGAACUUCCUGGUGAUGACUGUCACCGAAUCAGUAUCCUGCUUGAGGGUCAAGAACUCCUGGCUCAACCAUUCCCUCUCUACCGGGGGAACAUACUCCUCUCGGAACAUAGCGGUGAACCUCUCCCAGGUCACCUCAGAAAUCUCAGCGAAAGUAAAGUUUGCCGUCAUGAACUUCCACCAAUCCUUCGCUCCUAGGUGGAGCUGUUUCAAGGCGAACCGAACCCUCAAGUGCUCUGGACAAGAGCACGUAUAGAAACAUCCCUCGAUGUCAGAGAUCCACCUCAUAGCGGCAAUCGGGUCUUGCGUCCCGUCGAACUCUGGUGGCUUCGUGUUGCUGAACUCUUGGAACAACAACGAGUCACCUCCCUGACAUCUGGCAGCAGCGACAGCAGUAGUAGCUGCAGCNUCAGUCAACGCUGCGUACCGCUCAUCAAAAGUCUCGAUCAAUGUGGUCUUGAUGUCCCCAAACAUCUCAGGAAUCUCAGCUCGGAUGGCAGCAGCCACCUCCUCAUGAAUCAUCUGACGGAUCUCCUCAUCGCUGACACCACUGGUCCCAGGUGUGUGUCGAGUCCCAACCAUGAUGUCUCUAAAAUACAACAAAAAUUAUCAGAGAUCAAUCGAACAUGCUCAUACUCGAUGAUGCAACCCUACUUGUCCUCUGUCGUCUAAAAGAUUCUUACUUGAAAUGACCACUGAUCCGGUGUCUUCAGUAGUACGGGCCCAAUACUACUGACCACACUGCACCAGCAUUCACUUCAAGUCCUCCUCCUUGGAUCUUGGAUUACAAGUACUCUAUUCUCAUGAGCUCCUAACUGCUAUCACUCGCCCUCAAAGCAUCUCAGCAGCAGAAAACUCCUAGGCUAAGGCAUCACAAAUCAGGCCACUCUAGUCCUAAUAUGUAUACUUAGCCUACUCUAGCAUGCAUAAUAUAACAUAUCUCGUAACACAUAAAGUAAGGGUACUUUUGGGGAAUUCGUCGUUCGGGCGCUGGCUGAUCGUACACACGGCUCUGCUCUGUUUGUCUCAAAACUCUGUUACUCUUUUCAAAAAAUUUACUUUAUUAUAAAAAUUCUCCUCAAUUCCUCAGUUUGAGUUCAGAUACGCCCGAAGAUGCAUCUAAAUCCCUCAAACCAAGGCUCUGAUACCAACUUGUAACAACGUAAAUUUUUCAAAACAAUUUUUUCAUUUUCAAAACAUUCAUUUAUUCACAAAAUAAGAUCACCCAUAUUGUAUCAAAUGUAUUUAUCACAAAAACAUCUCCCCAGAAUCCAAAACAUAAACUUCUCAAGUGUGUACGGAUCAUGUCGGCGCCUUCCCGCGCUCAUCACUGGUACCUGAAACACAUCACACAACAACUGUAAUCAUAAAUGCUUAGUGAGUUCCCCAAAAUACCGCAUACAAAACAUACGCCACUCAAGGCUAUAAUACGACCCUCCGGUCUAUAUGUCUCAGCAGGACCCUCCAGUCCCGUAGCACGUUGGACCCUCUGGUCCGGUCAUAGCUCAUUGGGCCCUCCAGCCCGGUCUGUAUCGUUGGACCCUUCGGUCCGGUCUAUAACAACAUACAACAUACACAUAACACAUAACACAUAAUCUCAUACAUAACACAUAAGACCCUCUGGUUUACAUAAUAUACCACUCUAGGUAAGUAUAGUGAGAAGACUCACCUCGAUGUCUCGAUAAUAUCUGACUCGGAAUAAAUGUGAUCUAGCCUCCGCCUAAUCACACAAAGUAAUACACUCAUAAAUACAACUGUACCCAACCCUAAAAGUCAACAAGGUCAACGGUUAACUUUGACCGGACUCAGCGAGUGCACUAGGGCGACUCGGCGAGUCUACUAGUGUCCACUAACUCUCUUGGAUCCUCUCUUGACACGCCGAGUACCUCCCUGACUCGACGAGUUCCACCUGGCAUGAAUCGCAGGACCACCAUGACUCAACUCGCCGAGUCUCAAGAACAACUCGGCGAGUUCCCGCUUGAACUCAGUCCCCCCUGACUCACCCUGACUCACUGAGUCGUUCCCUCAACUCGACAAGUCCACUCACUGAGUGAUUACGGGUAAACUUCAUACUACUCGUCGAGUCUGUUCUUCAGACUCGGCGAGUUCAUGUCAUGCAUAAACUCAAAACCACUUCUGAGAUCAGAUCUGUUCCAUACAAUCAUAGAUCUGGCCUCCCCAAGCAUGAUAAUCACGUAAAGUCCAAACCUUGAUGCUCAAACAACAACUAUUUGCUCUUAUAUGAUGUUCUAGCCCCAUAUUUCAUAACCCAUGGUCAAAAAUCCCAUGAAUCCUCAUAAAGCUUGAGGAAUAAAGCUUCUCUGGACCUUUAUGGAUCCCAUUCCAAGCCUCAUCACAAAUAGGGACGAAAUGGACAUCAAAUCUAACCAACAAAGGGAUCAAGAAACCCUAAACCCCCAUGUUCAUCAUAACAACAGAAAGGGAGCCAAAAUAUUACCUCCGAAGUGAUGCUCUGAGCUCUAAAUUCGAAGAAUGUCCACCUUCCUUUCUUCCUCAUAGCUAGAACAUCCUUUGCCUUGCCAAACAAUGCCUCAAAGGUUAACAAUGGCCUCCUCUCUCUCCCAAAACGCUCAAGAUCUCUUUAAGGUUUCUCUCUGGGGUUGGUGGCCGCAAAUGACAGCCAUAAGCCCCUUUAAAUAGGUCUCAAACCCUGGAAAUUAGGGUUUCAUUAAACAGCAUGGACUCGCCGAGUCCAGAUGCGAACCCGCGUGCAAAACCGCGAUCCUACUCGGUGAGUUUAGACUCCAACUCGUCGAGUCUCCUCACAAAACUCAAAAAUAAAAGGAUAAAAAUAAUACCUGGGAAUCCGGAUGUUACAGAUGCUCCAUGGAGGCUCCAUGGUGUUUAUAGAACCCAAGGGUCAUGGAAAUGAAAAGUCAUGACAAUUAGAUAUUACAUGGUGUAACCCUAAUUGUAACACACUAUAUAAGCUUCAUGUUAUUCACCAAAAUCGGCCACUAAGUAAUACAAGUGAUGGCUAGCCGAUUUCUAAGUGUUCUUCAUUUCUCUCUAAGUUAUUCCAAGUGCAUUUGGUGUUGUGUGAGAAAUUUGAGGCAUCACACUUGAGGUGCUAGACUCACAAGGUUUUCAAGGAAUCCAAUCUACUACAAGGUAUGUUUUAUUGCUUACUUUUAGGUUUAAAAGUUCCCCAUGUAUGCUAGAUAGGAUAUAAACUUUGGAAAAACAAAUUUUCCAUGUAUCAUAGAUAAAACGUAGAUCCAAGGUUUCUAGGGUUGCAUGUACACCAUAGGAACGUUGGAAUGCUCAAAACCCUUGAGUGGUAUCAGAGCCUAGGCUUAUUUGUUUGAUACUUGAUGCAAAAUUGUGAAAAAAAACUCGGUUUUUCUGCACUCUGUAGCAUGAACUCGCCGAGUCCAUGGGGGGACUCGACGAGUCCAUGAGUAAACUUAUCCUGCUCGUCGAGUAGGUUCUUGCACUCGAUGAGUAGGACCCACAGAAUGCAGUUUUUCGAGUUUUGCUGCUGGAAAUGGACUAGAAACAUUACCGUAAACUGUUUUGGUGCUAUAAAACUUGUUUUAGAUGGUGUAGUGGUUAUGUUAAUCCAUUUUCAAUAGCUAUUAUCAAAUUUUCAUGUUCUAUAGGGUUAAUUUUAUAAUUCUUGAAAUUGUUGAUAUGCAUGUUCAUGAACUUAUGAGUUUAGAAGAUCAUAGGAAUUAAUUGAAACUUACUUGUUAGUUUAAUUCUUGAUCAUUAUGUUUUAAUGGAAUCCAUAAUUUGUCCUCAAGUUAUGGAUUACCAAAAGUCACUCUUUUAAAGUCGAUUAUUAAACACAUAGGUUACAUACAAUGAAAAGUUACUCAUUUUAUUAACCCAUUAACUCAUAAGUUAUGAAAGAUGAAAAGGUUUGAAUGUUACAAAACUUGACCUCAAGUUUUGGAACAUUUAAGUAGUGGUAUGAAGAUACAUGUUUUCACCAGGCUCCUAAGUCCGACCUAUUCAGCUUCUUUGUAUCACAAGUAGUGGUACGGAGAUACAUGAAUUUUGAUGUUUGGAUCUCAUGAGCGAUUCAAGUAGAUAUAGUCCAUUAGUUUAAUAAGAUGUUGUAAGGCUUAUUAAGACUAGUUUAUGCUUAUGUUUUUUAUAAGUUGUGACCAUCCCAUGUUUUUUUAUGAAAACCGUUUCAUCGGAAAAGUUUUGGUUUAAAAAAAAAUUGGAACAAAUUCCACAAUAAAAGAAUAAUUUGAAUUAAAUAAGCAUCAAGAAAAAGUUUUAAUUGGCCGUGAAUUUGUAAUUUCGAGGACAUCUAGAUUUAAACUUAAAAUGCUAAGCGAUGAUCAUGAGAUGCGUGUCUAUUUUAUUUAAGGUUGUAUAACUGAAUUGACACAAGCACUAGCUUACUUUAGGAUAGAAUGCCUAAUUUGAUGUAAUGUACUACAUGAUUUAUAUUAUAGCAUGCCUUAGGUUACCUACCUGAAUUGCUAUUACUUGAGUAGAUCUAAGGUCUAUUGUCGAACUUGAUUUGGAAAAUUUAUGUGUUCAGGAUUCUAAACAUAAAAUUAGUGUAUCGGAAGUGGCAUAUAACUUUUAGGGUGAUAAGGAGGAUUAUGCGUCUAAACAUAACUAAAACCUUAUUUAUCAUUAUAUACCCACGAUUCUAGGAACGUACACGACUGUGUGGUAUACAAAAUAUCAUGGUGAAAACUCAUAGCAGAUUGGGAAAUGGCAACAAGAAUCAGCAGCCUGAACCCCGAUAUGCAAUCGAGCAUGCACCAUAAGUAGUGCCAACAGUUGAACCAAUCAUGAUGGAAGGAGCUCAAGCCUUAAUGUAGGCAAUGCUAGUUGAGAAAAUGGAGCAGACCAGCCAACUGCUAUAAGGGAAUAGAAGAUAAGUCACUACACCGAUUGUACAACCUGAACUGAAUGAGGAAUGGUCCAAGAAGGAAAAUAUAGUAGGAUUGUUGGCCAAGCUAAACCACAAAAGGUUAAUAGGAACAACCGUGAUUUAGGAUUUUAAAAGGAUGGAUGUAAGUAAAGGACUUUACGACUUGAAAACCAACUACUUUUAAUGGGAAAGAAAAUCCAAUUGGAAUCAUGGAUUGGAUUUAUGACAUGGAGCUAGCCUUCAUAAUAGGUGGUUCCGAGGGCAAGUUGUAAACUACUUAUGUUGUGCAUCAGUUUAGGGGUAGGAUUGUUCAUUGGUGGAACACGUUAUGGAAGCUCAUAAGCCUUAACAAGCUACUAUAGCUGAGAUGGGCAGAGUUCUUACACUUCAAAUGCAAGUUUUGCUCAGCCUAAAACCUGUUAGAGCUGGAAAACACAUUUGUAACAUCCUAAAGUAAGGUAUGCAUCGAUGACCAUAACUUUUAUUGCACUUUCAAGACUAGUCCUUAUUUGAGAAAAAAGGUGGCAGUUGAGUACUAGUCCUUAUUUCAGAAAAAGGGGGCAGUUGAGUAUGUAGGGUGUACGUAUUUCUAUGCUCAGUGUACUCGUCCGUGUAUCAUGAAUGUGGAGGCUACCUAGUACGCGGGGCGUACCAGAGGGUACGCAGGGCGUACUAAGCUUAGAGUGAAAACCCUAAUUGUCUUAUGUGUCCCUAUGUAAGUAACAUGAUGGCCUCAUUUCUAGCCUCCAACUCCCCUCAAACCCUAAAUCUCGUUUCCAUAGCUUGUGUGAGCAUUUGUAGCUUAUUGAGUGUUCUUGUAGAGUUCUUUUGUGAAGAAGGAACCUUGAAGGAAGAAGAGUGGUGUCCAAGCUUUUGGAUCUGAGUUUCUCUGUGGUUGGUGCAUCAUCUAGAGGUAUCAAGCUCAAAGCUUUCUCAUUGUUUUGAUUAUUUUUGGUCCUUUUUUACGGAUUUAUAUCCCAAGCUUGAAAAUUUAUGAGUUUGAUGAAGUCCAGAGCAUAAUACCUGUGCUUUUAAAUGUUUUUUGUCGUUUGGAUUCAUAAAAAUGACAUCUUGGUCAUCAAGAUCCCUCCAUGCAUGAGAUAUGUGGACCUUUGUAAGUAAAUGAUUAUAGUUUAUGAGUUUUGGACUUGCCCAUCCAUGCUAAGGCUAAAAGUCACCAACUUUGUGAAGUAAUAGGCACUAGUUAGCCCAGAUCUGAGAUUGUAGCAAUUGUCAUAACGAAUUCAGACGAUGAGAGUAAGAAAAGUGAGUUUGGGACGUACAUCGUACGUACCCUAGUUACGUGCAGCAUACCGUUGAGUCCACCCUCAUGCAUGCAUUACCAGUUUUACGCCCAACAGAGAGGGCUAUACGCGCAUCGUACGUGUUGGGUGUUUACAUUCGUUGACUUUUAGGGUCUUUGUCAUGUUGUGGACUUUGAAGGCCAUGGAGGGGUAAAAUGGUCUUUUACCCCUUUGAGGUUUAGUAGAGAAACCUAGCCAACAUCUUUGAGGGGUGUUAAUAUCAAUUCAUAAUUAGAGUUAUAUGUGACAUAUGUUAGGCGUAGUUUAGAAUGAUAGUUCGGGUUCGGGAUUUACUUGCUUUACUUCGGGAUGAGUCUUCUCACUUUACUUACCUGAGUGGUAAUUUAUGUGUGAUCGGAGGGUCUUGAUCGUGUUACCGACCGGAGGGUCUUAUUCGUGUUAUUGACUGGAGGGUCUUAUUUUCUUAUACUAAGUUAUGUGUUAUUAUGCUUCUUGUCAUUGUGACUUAUGAUGUUAUAUUAUUCUGUGUAUAUAUUGAGUUAUGGCUAGAGGUUCCAUACCGACACGUGAGUCUGGAGGGUCUUCACUGAGACAUAUCAAUGGAGGGUCCUUAUCAAGAUAUAGCCAUCAGAGGCUAAUUAUUUGUGUAUGUGGUAUUUUGGGGAACUCACUUAGCUUCGUGCUUACUGUGUAUGUGUGAAAUGUGUUUCAGGUACAUCUCAGGAUCACAGGAAGGCGUUGGCAUGAUUGUACACACCAACUUGAUGAUUUGUGUUUAUGUGGAUUCUGGGAAAUUUUUCAAACAAUUUCUGAUGUUUUGUGUUUGAGAAAAUUCAAAUUUGCAUGAGAAACGCUAAACUAUUUUUGUGUGAACUUUUAAAAUGAAAAUUUUGUUUGCAAAUUUAGAGUGCUACAAGUUGGUAUCAGAGCCUUGGUUUGAGGGAUUCGGAUGAACCGUCGGGUAUGUAUGGACUAAAACCAUGGAGUUGAUAAAUUUUCAAAAAUAAAUGAUUUUCUAAAUGGGCAAAGAACGUUUAAUAGGAAAGCGAGACGAAGCAGUGUGUACAAUUAGCCAGAGCCCAAGCGCCAAAAUAACCUUACUUGAGUAUAUUAUGAGAUCAGUUACUUUUGAGCUAUUAGAAUUGCAUGCUAGAUGGUAGGCUAGGUAUUUUCUGUAAUUUUGAGUUAGAGUUGCCUGAUUCAUGAUGCCUUAGCCUAGGAGGUCAUUCUUGAACGACAUUAUCCUUACCAUUUACUAUGUGUGUUGCUUAGUUGUACAUGGCGAAGAUCUUUACGAGACAGAUUAGAGUUGAGGAGUGGUCUAGGAGGAGUAUCUUAUGAGAGAGUAGUUAUAUCCAUGAGGGAUAGAGUACCUGGGUUGGUGUGGAAGGUAGUAUUGGGCCCGUACUACUGAAAGCACUUGAUCUAUACGCGACUCAAGUAAGAAUCUCGGGAUACUAAGAAGAAUUUAAGGAUGUGUAAAUGUGUGUGUGCUUUAGCCUAUCCCUGAUGAUUUCUGUGUUUACGUUUCAGAGAGAGAGAGACUAUGGUGGUUACCCGAGGUUCAGGCUCCAACAACCCCGAGAGGGUGAGUACCAGUGAUGAUGAGAUCCACAGGAUUAUUGCGGUGAGAUGGCCAUAUCUAUCAGGGAGGCAAUUCUAGAGAUGUCUAGGUCUAUUAAGACCAUGUUGAUUGAGACUUUUGACGAGCGUUAUGAUGCCAUCACUGAGGUUGCCACUGUCGCUGCCACCGCAACCCUUGCAGCAGCAAUGCCACAAGGGGGAGAUUCGUUGAUAUUCUGAAAGUCCAACAACAUGAAGCCACCAGAGUUUGACGGGACCUUGGACUCGAUUGUUGCAAUGCGAUGGAUCUCUAAUAUCGAGGUAUGCUUUUAUACUUGUUCAUGCACUGAGAACCUGAGGAUUUAAUUUGCGCUGAAGCAGCUUCGCUUGGGAGCAAAGGAAUGGUGGAAGUUUGUGACGAUUGAUUAUUCUCCUACAGAUCAUGCUGCAGUGACUUGGGAAAGAUUCAACCAACUAUUUCAAGAUGAGUUUGUUCCCCAGGUGGAGAGGGAACGGUUGGCCCAGGAGUUUUUAUCUCUCAGGCAGAAGACAGAGACAGUGACGGAGAUCACGAGGAUGUUUCAUGAGACGGUGUUAUUUUGCACUGAGCACGUGUCUACUGAGUAGGCAUGUGUGAGCCGGUACUUAAGCCUUUUGAGGAAGGACAUUAUGGAGUUCGUGGCGAACUCAUCAUAUUGGACAUUGGCUAAGCUACAGACCAAUGUCAGGAGGAGGGAGAUCGAGCUGGAGACUCGGACGAGGGAGAGUCUCAAGGGAGAGACACAAGACUAGUACAGUCGCAACCGGCGACCAAGCAUGCUAAGCCCGCUGAUACUAGAGUGGGAGGCCAAAAGGGCCACAGUUGUGGGAAGUGCGGUAAGAGUAAUGAGGGAUCUUGUCGAACGGGAUUUGUUUCAAAUGCGGCAAGGAGGGGCAUAUGGUGAAGGAUUGGCCCAAGGGAUUUUUAGUUUGCUUUCAUUGCCCUCAUACUGGCCACCGAAAGGCUGAGUCUCCGCAGCUCACUCAGGGAUCAUCCCAGGCCCCUGCUCCUGCUACCUUGCAUGUCACUAAUGGUCGGCCCGGGAACACCGAGGCUCCGAGAGCUCAUGGGAGAGCUUUCCAGUUGACUGCGGAGGAGGUCCGUGCAACACCUAAUGUUGUUGCUGGUAUGCAUCUCCUUAUUCAUGUUGUUAUUAUAGUUAUUUUAUGCUUAUAUUGUGUUUAAUAUAGGUACUUUUCUUGCGAAUUUUGUGCCUGCCUUGGUGCUAUUUGACUCGGGUACGAGUUCAUCCUUCGUCUCUUUAUCCUGUAGCCAUCACAUUAUUGUUAGACGCGAGGCUUUGAGUCGACCAUUGAGGGUUUCUAUAGCCAACGAGCAUGCGGUUUUUGCUACUGAUAUAUUCCAGGAUUGUGUUUUGGAGAUUUUUGGUGUGGAGUUCCCAAUAGAUAUGGUGUCGAUAGCGAUGGGAGAUGUCUGCGUCAUAGUGGGAAUGGAUUGGUUGAGCCGAUUUGGAGAUGUGAUUGAUUGCGGGCAUCGGAUGGUGAUGAUUCGAGACCCUAGUGGGGGAGUACUUACUAUUUAUGGCGAGGGAACUAGAUCGGGAUCAGCCUUCUGCUCUGCUACUAGGGCAAGACAGAGUCUGUAGCAUGGAUCUAUUGUCUUUUUAGCUUAUUUAGUGGGUACCCGGGUUGUCAAGGAGAGGUUGAUUUCUGUUUCCAAUGUUUCUAGUGGUAUGUGAUUUCCAGGAUGUUUUUCCCGAGGAUUUGCCUGGUGUGCCUCCUGAGAGGCAGGUGGAGUUCUGGAUCGAUUUGGUUCCAGGGGCGGCGCCUAUUUUCAAGGCACCAUAUCAUCUUGCACCGCCCGAGAUUAAGGAGUUAUCCUUGCAACUUCAGGAGCUGUUAGGAAGGGUUUCAUUCGGCUGAGUAGUUUGGCGUGGGGAGCGUCGAUCCUUUUUGCCAAGUAGAAGGAUGGUUCACACCAGAUGUGCAUCGAUUACUGGGAUUUGAACAACUUGAAGGUUAAGAACCGUUAUCCAUUGUCGAGUAUCGACGACUUAUUUGAUCUGUUGAAGGGAGCGUCUUGGUUUUCCAAGAUUGAUUUGAGAUCUGGAUACCAUUAGAUGAGGGUCUACGAGGAGGAUAUUCAGAAGACGAACUUUCAGACUUGUUAUGGGGAUUAUGAGUUUGUGGUGAUGCCUUUCAGACUCACUAACACACCGGCAACGUUCAUGGACCUCAUAAACCGGGUGUGUGUAGGCCCAUGUUAGACUAGUCGGUGCUCGUGUUCAUUCACGAUAUUUUGGUAUACUCGAAGUCUAGGGAACAGCACGAGCAGCAUCUUUGGGAGAUUCUUGGAGUGUUGAGGAUGGAGAGGCUUCAUGCCAAAUUCUCCAAGUGUGAUUUUUGGUUACGAGAGGUUCAAGUCUUAGGACACCUCGUUAAUCAGAGAUUUCUCCAAGAAUGUUGUUCCUCUCACCGAGUUAACCCAGAAGAAUGUCGUUUUUACUUGGGGGCCUGAGCAAUAGGUAUCAUUCGAGACUCUUCGUCUGAGGUUGUGUGAGGCUUUAGUGUUAGCUCUCCUGGAGGAAGUAGAGGACCUCGUAGUCUACUGUGAUGCAUCCAUAUCGGGGUUGGGUGAUGUGUUGAUGUAGAGAGGGCAUGUGAUAGCAUAUGCGACGAGGCAACUAAUGCCUAACGAGACGAGAUAUCCAACCCAUGAUCUGGAGUUGGGGAUAGUGGUAUUUGCCCAUCGAGAUUUGGUGUCACUACCUUUAUGGUUUUCGAUGUACCAUAUGCACGGACCAUGAGAUGGUUGGAUGUACUGAAGGACUACGAUCGUGAGAUUUUGUGUCAUCCAGGCAAGGUUAAUAUGGUAGUUGAUGCCCUGAGCAACGAGUGCUCCGAUUCGAGACAUGUGUACGAGGAUGACGGUGAUGACUCCAGUCUUAGAUGUCAUCCGAGAGGUCCAAGCGGUGGCCAUGAGACCAGAUAACCGCAACAGAGAGCAGGCGAUCGGGCAAAUUUAUGGGUUUGAUAUGGAUAGUCGGGGGCUUAUGACCUUCCCUGGGCGGAUAUGGGUACCAUAUGCGGGUGGAGCUCGACAUAUUUUGAUGGAGGAGGCCCAUAAAUCGAGGUUUUCCAUUCAUCAUUGGGCCACAAAGAUGUACUUGGAUUUGAAACACGAUUAUUGGUGGCCCUGUAUGAAGAGAGAUGUGGCAUGGAUAAUUGAGAGGUUUUUGACUUGUCGCAAGGUCAAGGCAGAGCACUAGCGUCCUCAUGGCAAGUUCCAGCCUCUAGAUCUUCAUUUAUGGAAGUGGGAUACUGUAACGCCCGGGUUUCAGGGCUAAGCAUAUUUCUCAAUGUAAUAGUCUAGGUCGACUAUUGUAACUCCUUUUGAAGUAAUAAAGAUGAAAUAUUUGAGUAUUAUGUGAAUUAUGUGUGUUAUUGUGCUUAUUGUUUAAUUAUAAAUGUAUAAUUAAUAAAGAAUAAAAAUAAGCGUUAAAAUUAAAGUGUGAGAUAAACCCAAUAUCUCUACAUAAAGUUGUAGUGGUCGAAACAAGGAUUCCAGGGAUAUAAGGAACGCCGAAAUCCGAGUUAUAACGAAGAAGUUAUGACCCGUCGAAGUUUCGCGACAGAACCGGCACAAUACCGGGAAGCGUAAAUACUAAAUUUACGAUAAAGCGAGAUUUAGCCUUAGCGCUCUAAAAGAAAGUCGUAGAAUAUGUUAAACUAAGAACAUCGAUAAAAAGAACGCCCAAAUCUGACUUCGUAUGAGGAAGUUAUGAUUUUUCUAAUAUUUAGCAUAACAGUGCACAACCCGAAAUCUGAAUUUUAGAUCGGUCGAUUUUUAGCCGACGGGAUCUAAAUGAAAGUUGUAGUACUCGUAAAUACCAACGCGUGGAUAUAAAGAACGUCGAUAAUAGAGCUCGUAUGCGAAAGAUAUGGACGAAGCUUAGUCCNNNNNNNNNNNNNNNNNNNNNNNNNNNNNNNNNNNNNNNNNNNNNNNNNNNNNNNNNNNNNNNNNNNNNNNNNNNNNNNNNNNNNNNNNNNNNNNNNNNNNNNNNNNNNNNNNNNNNNNNNNNNNNNNNNNNNNNNNNNNNNNNNNNNNNNNNNNNNNNNNNNNNNNNNNNNNNNNNNNNNNNNNNNNNNNNNNNNNNNNNNNNNNNNNNNNNNNNNNNNNNNNNNNNNNNNNNNNNNNNNNNNNNNNNNNNNNNNNNNNNNNNNNNNNNNNNNNNNNNNNNNNNNNNNNNNNNNNNNNNNNNNNNNNNNNNNNNNNNNNNNNNNNNNNNNNNNNNNNNNNNNNNNNNNNNNNNNNNNNNNNNNNNNNNNNNNNNNNNNNNNNNNNNNNNNNNNNNNNNNNNNNNNNNNNNNNNNNNNNNNNNNNNNNNNNNNNNNNNNNNNNNNNNNNNNNNNNNNNNNNNNNNNNNNNNNNNNNNNNNNNNNNNNNNNNNNNNNNNNNNNNNNNNNNNNNNNNNNNNNNNNNNNNNNNNNNNNNNNNNNNNNNNNNNNNNNNNNNNNNNNNNNNNNNNNNNNNNNNNNNNNNNNNNNNNNNNNNNNNNNNNNNNNNNNNNNNNNNNNNNNNNNNUUUUUUUUAACUACUCGCGGUACGGGGAAUCUGGUUUAAAGGGCCGCAUAGGGUUGUUGGAUUUCAGAAGUGCUAUAUGCCAAAAUGGUCCUGCCCUCCGGUGUUUUAUGUCUGGCCCCUGUCUGUACAUAGUGGUUGGAAAAUAUUGUUUAACGCUUAUAUAAUAAUAAUAAUACUAAGACUAAUAGUUGGUCACGGUAAAUAUUAGACUAAAAUUUAGCGAUAAUAAUGCUAGGUUUCGUCGAAGGAAAAUAGAAUCGUUAGAAGCAAGCGCUGCCCGAUUUUGGAAUCAUCACCUUAACAAGUGAGUGCAUAGUUACUUUCAACUUACACAUAGAUAUGAAGUAUUUUAUAUAAAUUACGUGCUAUGUGUGCAUAUUAUCUGAAUACUUGCUAUCUAUGCUAGAUGAACGUUGUUAUACAUGUUUUCAAUGAUUUAAACUGUAUAUGUAUUUUAUAUCUACGAAAAUGUUGGGGUAAAACAUGGGUAGAUGCAAUAGGUGAUGUGUGAUAAAAUGAUGAGAGGCCUCGAUGUUGAUGUUGUUGAUUCUGUCAUCUAGCGGAGUAUGGAUGACGACCACGGACUCUUCUAGACAGUCCAGUGGAACACUAGCAGGCUCGCAACCUGUAGGUGUUUGUGAACGAUAUGUUCACCGGUGUACUCCAUCCCCCACAUGGUUGCCUUUAGGACAUUUAUUGCUGAGGAAUCCCCUUAGCAGUAGUGUCCGUCCCGAUGAUGAUCCUUAGGCUAGGUCCCUUAUGAUAGGUGUUUAGGGACGUAAAGUGAGGAUAACGGGAACGGGUAAUCGGGUUAUUGUUGAUCGAUGAAAUUAAUAAACUUAUUUAUUGUGGGUUGAAAACCCUAUGUGCUCACCAGGCUCCCAAGCCUGACCCACUCAGUUUUAUGUAUUACAGGUAGUGGCGCAUGAGCAUAGGUGUGAUGUUUUGGACGAGGGAUUACGGAUAUAGGCCUGUAGAUAUGAAAUAAUGUAGUAAGGCUUAUAUUGUACUGUUUAUGCUUUUGAUCUGUACGAACAUGACAUCCCGAGUCUUUUAAUGAAAUACAUUUCUAUGGAAAUGCUUUUGAUAAAUCUUUAUCAUAUUUUUGUUUUGGGACAAAUUCCGCAACACUUUCAUUUAAAAUGUAACUCUGAUUUUUAAACAAAGCAUAAACAAACCGGUCUUUUCUGGCCGUGAUUUUGGGGAUGUCACAGUUGGUAUCAGAGCAUUAGUUUAAGCGAACUAGGAAUUUGUAGGAUUUCUAGACUUAAACUUAGAAUGCUAAGCGAUGAUUGUGAGGUGUGAGCACUAGCUUAUUUUAGGAAUUGUGCCUAAAAUGCUUUUAUGUGCUAAAUGCUUUGUGCAUGAUAUGCUGUUAUUUGUUCGGAUCUAUGGUCUGUUGCCGACCGGAUCUGGAAACCUUAUGUGUUUAGGAUUCUAAACGUACGACUACGAUAUUAGAACUAGCAUGUAAACGUUUCGGAGUGAUAAGGACGAUUUAAACGUCUAUCCUAAAUAAAGAUCUAAAUUCACCUUAUUCGGUGUAUAGAUCAAGAUGGCAAGGACCCGUAGCGGAAACGUGAACGCAAAUGGAGAUAGGAACCAACCCCCAGUGGUUCAGCAAAUACCUGUUGUUGAAGAAGUUGCACCUGAGCCAGUCACGAUGGUCGGAGUGCAAGCGAUGAUCCAGACGAUGUUGGAUCGUCAAAUGGAGGAAACUAGACGUUUGCUCCAGCAAAAUCGAGAGGAAGAGACUAUUCAGAUCAAACAGCCCGAGUUGAACAAAGGGCAGACUGAGGAGGGAAACUACAGUGGGACUGUUGGUCAAGCCAACCCACCGAUAGUUAGGCAAAACCACCAGGAUGGAGGAAAUGACGGACGUGGAUGCAAAUACAAGGAUUUCAUGGCAUCCAAGCCACCGAGUCUAUCUGGAAGCCCGACACCAGUGGAAGUCAUGAACUGGAUCUCUGAAAUGGAGACAAUGUUUGAGAGUUGUGAGUGUAGCAACAGGCAGAAGACCGCUCUCGCGAUUCCUCUAUUGAAAUCUGGAGUACUGAGCUGGUGGAAGCUACUAGCUGAUUCAAUGCCCAAAGGUGAAGCAAGCAAGAUGUCGUGGGAGGAUUUUCUGGUACAGUUGAAGAUGCAAUAAUGCUCUGAGCAGGAUCUUCUGGAGAUCAACAACGAGUUUCAGAAUCUAAAGAAGGGAAGGAUGAGCGUUACUGAAUACGCUGCAAGCUUUACUGAGAAAAUGAAGCUUGUUCCUCACCUCGUUCCAACUAAACUCUCCAAGGUUAACAAAUUUGCCCUCGGAUUACCAGCGGACUACGGUCCAAUGGUCAAGCAAACUACCACUCUGAAACCUGCCAUCUGGGCUGCUAAGAAUGUGGAGACCCAGAAACGAGAGAAGGGUCUGGAGAGAGUGGAGGUGGGAGAAAAAAGGAAAUAUGACGGAUCCUUAAGGUCCGAUAAGAAGGGUAGAUUCUCAAAGUUUGGUUCGAGAGGAGGAGGAUUAGAAGCGAAUUGGUGUGACAAGUGUAAGAAGAAGCACUCUGGGAAGUGUGACGAAGGGGUCACUUGUGUCAAAUGCGGAAAGCCUGGGCACUAUGCCAACGAAUGCACGUUCACUAAGAAGGUAUGUUAUGAGUGCAACGAGGAGGGGCACAUUUCAAAGGAUUGCCCGAAGAAGAAGGAGGCAGGAAGACCCAACAUACCACCAAAGCCGAAGGCGAGAGCCUUCCAGAUGACGCUCGAGGCUGCGAAGGAGGCAGCAGACGUCGCUUCAGGUACCUUUCUUGUAAAUGGUUUGCCUGCGAAUAUACUAUUUGAUUCCGGAGCCAACUACUCCUUUGUGUCUCAUAAAUUUGGUUGGAAAUUAGCAUUGCCUGUAGAAAAACUAGAUAAUACCCUGAUUGUAGAAGUUGCCAGUGGAAAAUUCGUACCUGUUAGUAAUCGUAUUAUGAACAUCGUCAUUAACCUAAACGGAAACGAAUUCCAUGAACAGCUAUUACCCAUAGAGUUAAACAGUUUCGACAUCGUUUUGGGUAUGGAUUGGCUUAGCGCCAACGAUGAUGAGAUUCAAUGCCGAAAGAAGAUAGUAAGGGUGAACCCGCCCAGAAAAGAAUCAUUUAUGGUGUACGGGGACAAGCGCAGAGUGAAUUCUGGAAUCAUAUCCCUGAUGAAAGCCAGGAAAUGUUUGUCCAAAGGAUGUGCAUCGUACUUGGCAUUCGUAAUCGAUGCUAAGAAGGAGAAGAAAGAGGUGCAGAAUAUACCGGUUGUGUGUGAUUAUCCGGAAGUCUUUCCCGAAGAUCUUCCCGGAUUACCACCUGAUAGGCAAGUGGAGUUUCGUAUAGACAUGUUACCAGGAACAACACCGAUAGCAAAGGCACCUUACCGAUUAGCACCGACGGAGAUGAAGGAGCUCAUGACGCAACUUCAGGAGCUGUUGGACAACGGUUUUAUUCGACCUAGUUCAUCACCCUGGGGAGCUCCGGUGUUAUUCGUGAAGAAGAAGGACGGAAGCAUGAGAAUGUGUAUAGACUACCGAGAGCUGAAUAAGGCAACGGUGAAGAACAAGUAUCCAUUGCCGAGGAUUGAUGACCUAUUCGAUCAGCUGCAAGGUUCGAGCUACUUCUCAAAGAUCGAUCUUAGGUCAGGAUAUCAUCAGCUGAAGGUGAGAGAGCAGGAUAUUGAGAAGACUGCAUUCAGAACAAGAUAUGGACACUACGAGUUCUUGGUUAUGUCAUUCGGGCUAACCAAUGCUCCCGCAGCAUUCAUGGAUUUGAUGAAUAGGGUUUGUAAACCAUUCCUCGAUAAAUCCGUGAUAGUGUUCAUCGACGACAUUCUCAUCUACUCGAAAAGCCAAGAGGAGCAUGGCAAGCAUCUACGGGAAGUAUUAGAAGUGUUGAAGAAGGAGAAGCUUUUUGCAAAGUUCUCCAAAUGCGACUUUUGGAUACGGGAAGUCCAAUUCUUGGGUCAUGUUGUUAACCAGGAGGGAAUAAUGGUUGACCCCGCAAAGAUCGAGGCUGUAAUGAAGUGGGAACGUCCAAAGAGUCCCACGGAGAUUCGAAGCUUUCUAGGAUUAGCCGGAUAUUAUCGACGAUUUAUCCAAGGCUUUUCUUCGAUAGCUGCUCCAUUAACAGCUUUGACUCAUAAAGGAGCUACGUAUACGUGGAGUGAGAAACACGAUGAGGCAUUCGAGAAGCUAAAGAAGAAGUUAUGUGAAGCACCGAUACUUUCUCUACCCGAUGGAGUCGAAGAUUUCGCGGUUUAUAGUGACGCUUCUGGAGUCGGGUUGGGUUGUGUUCUGACCCAAAGAGAAAAGGUGAUAGCAUACGCAUCUCGACAAUUGAAAGAGCACGAAAAGAACUACCCCACUCAUGAUCUGGAGUUGGCAGCGGUAGUUUUUGCCUUAAAGAUAUGGAGGCAUUACCUCUACGGCACGAAGUGCAAGCUCUUCACUGAUCAUAAGAGUCUCCAGUAUCUCUUUAAUCAGAAGGAGUUGAACAUGAGGCAACGACGCUGGCUAGAACUUCUCAAGGACUACGACUGUGAGAUACUUUACCACCCAGGUAAAGCAAAUAUUGUUGCUGAUGCUCUCAGUCGGAAAGUCAAUCUGGAAAGGAAAAGGCCAAGAGCGUUAAGAAUUGAAGUCGUCUCGACGAUUGUGGAAAGUAUCAGGAAAGCUCAAGAAGAAGCUUUAGAGAAAAAUGACCGAAAGGAAGAACGUUUGGGAAGAACGUUAGUGUUUGGUACAAACAGUCGAGGACUGAAGGUAUUCCAAGAUCGAAUUUGGGUACCUAAGACGGGAGGAAUAAGAGAUCUUCUGAUGGAAGAAGCACACAAGACCAUGUACUCGAUUCAUCCCGGUAGCACUAAAAUGUAUAGGGACCUAAAACCCUACUACUGGUGGCCGAUGAUGAAGCUCAAUGUUGCGAAGUAUGUGGCCGAGUGCGUAACAUGUGCAAGGGUUAAGGCACAACAUCAAAAACUGUAUGGGAGUUUAGAACCUUUACCUGUACCCAUGGGUAAAUGGGAAGACAUCACCAUGGAUUUUGUGACCAAACUACCUAGGACAAAGAGCAGUCACGGCAUGAUUUGGGUGGUCGUGGAUCGUUUCACCAAGAGUGCACACUUCAUAGCAGCCAACAAGAAGUGGUCUAUGGAUAAGCUCGCAAAUGCUUACGUAAAGGAAAUUGUAAGACUUCACGGUGUUCCUCUUACAAUUGUAUCAGAUCGUGAUAGUCGUUUCACAUCAAGGUUUUGGACGAGUCUACAAGAGGAGUUGGGUACGAAGUUGUGUUUGAGUAUUGCUUACCAUCCACAGACUGAUGGUCAGAGCGAAAGAACGAUUCAAACACUGGAAGAUAUGCUGAGAGCAUGUACCCUCGAAUUCCAAGGGAAUUGGGACGAGCACUUACCUCUGGUAGAAUUUUCCUACAACAACAGUUUCCACUCGAGCAUCAAGAUGGCACCUUAUCAAGCCUUGUACGGACAGAAGUGUCGUACGUCGUCUUGUUGGCUUGAAGUCGGAGAGAAGCAGUUUAUGGGCCCCGAGAUAGUCCAUGAGACUGCUGAGAAGUUGAAAGUGAUUAAGGAAAGGAUGUUAGCAGCCCAUGAUCGUCAGAAGAGCUAUGCUGACAAGAAAAGACGACCGAUAACCUUCAAAGUUGGGGAUUCGGUUUUGCUAAAAGUGUCACCAUGGAAGGGACUUAUACGAUUUGGGAAACGAGGAAAAUUGAGUCCAAGGUUUAUUGGACCGUUCAAAGUUUUUCAAAAGAUUGGUAACCAAGCUUACAAGCUGGAAUUGCCCGAAGAACUCAAUGGUAUUCAUAACACCUUCCAUGUGUGUUAUUUGAGGAAAUUCACGGGAGAUGUUCCCGACAUAAUUCCAAUCUCAGAGUUAAGGAUGGAUGAAAAUAAAAGGCUGAUCGAAGAGCCUGAGGCAAUUGUUGACCGUAAGACUAAGAAGUUACGACGCAAGAUGGUCGACUUAGUGCUAGUCCGAUGGAAACAUUCGAAUGGGCCGAAUCUCACUUGGGAAACAGAGGAUGACAUGAUGAGUCGCUAUCCACAUCUGUUUGCUGAUGCAUGAUUCCGGGACGGAAUCAUCCUAAGGGGGAGAGAAUUGUAAUGCCCGGGUUUCAGGGCUAAGCAUAUUUGUCAAUUUAAUAGUCUUGGUCAACUAUUGUAACUAUUUUUGAAGUAAUAAAGAUGAAAUAUUUGAGUAUUAUGUGAAUUAUGUGUGUUAUUAUGCUUAUUAUUUAAUUAUAACUAUAUAAUUAAUAAAGAAUAAAAAUAAAUGUUAAAAUUAAAGUGUGAGAUAAACCCGAUAUCUCUACAUAAAGUUGUAGUGGUCGAAACAAGGAUUCCGGGGAUAUAAGGAACGCCGAAAUCCGAGUUAUAACGAAGAAGUUAUGACCCGUCGAAGUUUCGCGACAGAACCGGCACGAUACCGGGAAGCGUAAAUAGUGAAUUUACGAUAGAGCGAGAUUUAGCCUUAGUGAUCUAAACGAAAGUCGUAGAAUAUGUUAAACUAAGAACAUCGAUAAAAAGAACGCCCAAAUCUAACUUUGUAUGAGGAAGUUAUGAUUUUUCUAAGAUUUAGUAUAGUAGUGCACAGCCCGAAAUCUGAAUUUUAGAUCGGUCGAUUUUUAGCCGACGGGAUCUAAAUGAAAGUUGAAGAUCUCAUUAGUAGGAACUCAACGGUCAAAAAAGACAGACAAAAACAGAGCUCGUAUGCAAAAGUUAUGGACGAAGCUUAGUCUCUACUUUUCGAGCGCGACGAAUUCGAUACAGUUUUGUAACUCCGAGAUAGAAUGAGAAUUAGCUAACGAGGUCUAAAUGAAAGUUGUAGUACUCAUAAAUACCAACGCGUGGAUAUAAAGAACGUCGAUAAUAGAGCUCGUAUGCAAAAGUUAUGGACGAAGCUUAGUCUCUACUUUUCGAGCGCGACGAAUUCGAUACAGUUUUGUAACUCCGAGAUAGAAUGAGAAUUAGCUAACGAGGUCUAAAUGAAAGUUGAAGAUCUCAUUAGUAGGAACUCAACGGUCAAAAAAGACAGACAAAAACAGAGCUCGUAUGCAAAAGUUUCGGACGAAGCUUGGAGACUACUUUACUAUACACUUCCUAUAAAUAAGAGAUGAACUCUUCAUUAUUUCCUCACACCUUCAAACCUUUCUUUCUCUCUCUAACUUCUCUCUAACCUCCCUAAACCCCUCCCAAGUCUAGGGAACCUCCCUAUCACGAGAAGAAAGCCCCGGAGCGCCCGACGGCUCCGAGAAGAAAAGCUUUCGGCUCGGAAACGCUGCUCCAGCGAAGCCCGGUUUUUAAUAAAAACCCGUUGUAAGUGAGUUACGCCUAUAGUAUAUUUAAUAUAGCUUUUAUUUAAUUAUAGUAACAUUAUUAGGACCUUAAAAUAAUUAUUUGGGCUAUUAUUAUGAGUUAUAUUGAGUGUUAUUUAACGCUUAUAUAAUAGUAAUAAUAGCUAGACUAUUAAUUAGUCGCGAUUAACGUUAAAACUAAACUCUAGUGGUAUUAAUACAAGGUUUUGGUCAAGGAAAAAUUGUUUUAAGAAGUAACGAAGAGCUGUCCGAGUGCCGAGUCACCACCUUACCAGGUGAGUGCAUAGUUACUUUCAGCUUACACAUAGAUAUGAAGUAUUUUAUAUAAAUUACGUGCUAUGUGUGCAUAUUAUCUGAAUACUUGCUAUCUAUGCUGGAUGAACAUUGUUAUACAUGUUUUCAAUGAUUUAAACUGUAUAUGUAUUUUAUAUCUACGAAAAUGUUGGGGUAAAACAUGGGUAGAUGUAAUAGGUGAUGUGUGAUAAAAUGAUGAGAGGCCUCGAUGUUGAUGUUGUUGAUUCUGUCAUCUAGCGGAGUAUGGAUGACGACCACGGACUCUUCUAGACAGUCCAGUGGAACACUAGCAGGCUCGCAACCUGUAGGUGUUUGUGAACGAUGUGUUCACCGGUGUACUCCAUCCCCCACAUGGUUGCCUUUAGGACAUUUAUUGCUGAGGAAUCCCCUUAGCAGUAGUGUCCGUCCCGAUGAUGAUCCUUAGACUAGGUCCCUUAUGAUAGGUGUUUAGGGACGUAAAGUGAGGAUAACGGGAACGGGUAAUCGGGUUAUUGUUGAUUGAUGAAAUUAAUAAACUUAUUUAUUGUGGGUUGAAAACCCUAUGUGCUCACCAGGCUCCCAAGCCUGACCCACUCAGUUUUUAUGUAUUACAGGUAGUGGCGCUUGAGCAUAGAUAUGAUGUUUGGACGAGGGAUUAUGGAUAUAGGCCUGUAGAUAUGACAUAAUGUAGUAAGGCUUAUAUUGUACUGUUUAUGCUUUUGAUCUGUACGAACAUGACAUCCCAAUUCGUUUAAUGAAAUACAUUUCUAUGGAAAUGCUUUUGAUAAAUGUUUAUCAUAUUUUGUUUUAAGAAAAAUUCCGCAACACUUUUAUUUAAAAUGUUACUCUGAUUUUCAAACAAAGCAUAAACAAAAUCGGUCUUUUAUGGCCGUGAAAAUGGGGAUGUCACAGAUACGAUCAAGGUGAUUGUGGACCGAUUGACAAAGAGUGCUCACUUCCUGGCUAUAAGUGAGAACUCUUAUGCGGAGAAGCUAGUCGAGGUCUACAUUCAAGAGGUGGAGGCUCGGCACGGAGUGCCGACAUCGAUAGUGUCUAACCAUGAUGUGCGUUUUACUUCCAGGUUUUGGAAGAAAUUUCAAGAGGAGUUGGGUACCCGACUACAUUUUAGCACCAUAUACCAUCCACAAAUAGAGGGGCAGAGUGAGCGAAUGGUUCAGAUGCUCAUGGAUAUGCUACGCGCUUGUGUUAUGGACUUUGGUGGGAUUUGUGACUCCUAUAUGCCCUUGGCUGAGUUUUCAUAUAAUAACAGUCAUCACUCUAGCAUUGGGAUGCCUCCCUUUGAGCUUUUGUAUGGGAGGAGAUGUCAUACUCCUAUCUAUUAGGGAGAGGUCGGACUGAGAGUGACGGGGAGCAUCAAGAUAGUGCUCAAGAUGACAAAGCAAAUCCAUCAGGUUAGACAAAGGUUGCUGACGGCCCAGAGUCGUUAGAAGAGUUACGCAUAUCGAAGGCAUUAUGAGCUAGAGUUACAAGUCGGCGACUUUGUUCUCCUGAAGGUAUCCCCAUGGAAACGGGUGAUCCGAUUUAGGAAGCGGGGCAAGUUGUGUUGGAUUAAUGUGUAUGUCCAUAACUAUAAUUGGUAAGACUUGACCUGACCCGACAUGGUCCAUUUGGGUUGCAUGGCGUCAUGCAUUUGGGUAGACUAAAAUGAGAGAAAUAAAACUUAAGGUUUGUUAAUAUAUUAUAAGUUCUAAUAUAUUAAUAAGAUUAUUUAAUUAGUAUUGAUCAAGAAUUAAUCUAAUAUUAAUUAAGUGAUCAAAAGAAGACUAAUUAAAUAUAUGGGUUGAUUGUGUAAAUCAUCCAUACUUGUAUAGUGGGCUAAUCUAUGAAGUGUGGAUUUCUCUCUAAUCUAUUCCAAGUGUAUUUGGUGUUGUGUGAAACAUUUCAAGUGUCACACUUGGGGCACUAGGCACUCAAGCUUCAUGAAGACAUUCUACAUCAAAGAGGUAUGUAAUUCUAACUUGAUAUAUUCAUAUGAAUCAAUGUUAUUAUGCUAGUUAGGAUGAAUACCUUGGAAAGUCAUAUUGUAACAGCCCGGAUUCCCAGGUAUUAUUCAUUUAUUUAUUCUGGUAAAUUGUGAGGAGACUCGGCGAGUUGGAUCCUAGACUCGCCGAGUAUGAUCGCGGAUUUGGACGCGGGUUCACGUCCGGACUCGGCGAGUCCACGCUGUUUAAUGAAACCCUAAUUUCCCAGCCUUGAGCCCUAUUUAAAGGACCUUAUAACCCUUCAUUGCGGCUACCUUCGACCUUGAGAGUACCAGAGCAGCUGGGAGUCCUUGUGAGUGAGAUAAGAGGCCAUUAUUCACCAUUUUUGUGUGUGUUUGCAAGAAAGAAAGAGGAAGGCCAAGCUAGGAGAGCUGGGGAGCUUGGAUCUACUUCCAUUUCGGCAGAGGAAGCUAUUUGAGGUAAUAUUCAGAGCUUAUUCUCGUGUUUUUAUGGAUAGGGUCAAAUCUAGGGUUUCUUCAUGCCUUGUUUGCCUUGUUUAUGGAGUGUGCGAGGUCCCAUGGGGAAAUGGUACCUAGAUCUGGACCUUAGUAGGUCCAGAGAGUCCCAGAUACUCUGCUUUAUGCCUUUCCUUUUGAGUUGGGGACUUAGGUUACCAUUUUAGUUGUCAUUUCACCAAAAGAAGCCUUGUAGGCGUUUCAUGGUAGCCAAGAUUGUAACUUUACGUGAUGAAUGUGCUUGGAAGGACUGGAUCUAUGAGUUAAUGGAACGAAUCUGACCUCAGAAGCGAGAUUGAGUUGAUGCAUGGCAGCGACUCGCCUAGUCCGAAGAACAGACUCGACGAGUAGCAUGAAGAUUGUCCUUAACCACUAAGCGAGUGGUCUUGUCGAGUUACGGGGUUGACUCAGUGAGUCUGGGAGAGUUGGAGAGGGUUGACAGAUGGACUGAGUCGAGCUGGAACUCGCCGAGUUGUUCUUGAGACUCGGCGAGUUGAGUCGUGGUGGCCCCGCGAUUCAUGCCAGGUGGAACUCGUCGAGUCAGGGAAGUNAGGGAAUCCUAGAGAGUUGGUGAAAACGCUUAGACUCGCCGAGUCGCUCUUGUGCACUCGCCGAGUCCGAUCAAAGUUGACCGUUGACCAGAGAUGACCAGUGUUGACUUGAUGGGAGUAGUCAACCUUAGUUGAGAAAGUGUUAAUUAGAGAUGUAUUGUGUUAUAGGAGGACUAUAGCUCGGAGGAUUGAGCACGAGUGUUUUCCGGGAUUUGCGAGUUAUCAAGAUACGCGAGGUGAGUCUUCUCACUAUCUUUACCUUGAGUAGGUAACCAGAGUUAUGUGGUAGAGUAUGUGUAUGUUGUGUAUGUUAUGUGUUGUACUGCAUUAUUUCUAUGUGAUUUAUGUUGUGCAUGUUUACAGAGUUAGAACCGGAAGGUUCACAGAGUAGGGUCCACGGACCCACAGAGUUAUAGCCUCGAGUGGCUAAUAUGUGUUAUGUGUGGUACUUUGGGGAACUCAAUAAGCUUCGUGCUUAGAGUGUUUUGUGUUAUGUGUUUCAGGUUUCUCUCAGGAUCACGGGACGACACCGGCUCGAUUGUACACACCAGAGAAAGAAAUGUUUUGAGGAUCCUGGUUUAUUAUGCAAGUGAAAAUGAAGUUAUAUUUUGUAAGUCGAUUAUGAAUGAGAUUUUAAGCAAAGUGUUUCUAAGAAUUAAACGAUUAUUUUUAAAUGAAAAAUUGUUUUGAAAUUUUCGGCGUUACACAUAUUUACAUGUAUAAUAGAGAAAACAUAGAUCCAAGGUAUUUAGGGUUGCAUGUACACUUAGGAAGUGUUAGAAUGCUCAAAACCCUUCAGUGAUAUCCGAUCGUAGGCUUGCUUUCUCUUAUACUUGAUGCAAAUAGAUUUUUCGAAGCCAAGAAUCUGUCAGGGCCUAAAACUCGACGUGUUCUGGUACAAAACUUGACGAGUUCAUGUAUUAGGGCAUGAAGUCGACGAGUUCCAUGAAGAACUUGACGAGUUUGGCCUCCAGACACAUAUCUUCANACAACAUAUCUUCAUGUUUUUUGGCUGGAAUUGGACUAGGAACAUUACCAUAAGCUGUUUUUGAACUUAUAAACUUGUUUUUGAUGUGGUAACGUUCAUGCUAAUCCAAUUUCAAAGAUAAUUGUCAAUAGAUUCAUGUUUUGUAUUAGUUUAAGGUUUAUACUAAUUACAUGAAAAACUUUGAUUUGAAUUAUCUUGUUCUUCUAAGUUGCUUAGAUUAAUAGAAAGUUAUGUGAAAUUGUUGUUUUAUGUGACAACCCGAAAUUUCCAUUCGGUCAAACCCGAAAAGUCAACCCCUUCGUAAUCAUAAGUCAAUGUCAUUAUUUCUUAUUUUUAAGAAAUAUAAAGUUCGUUUGAUUAUUUUAAUAUUAUUUUUAAACGAAUGGGUGGAAGAAAGUGUCGUCUCGGGUUUUGAUUUUUGAAAACCGCAAACACUUCGCAUAUUAGAAACACUCGACCAAAUUUUUAUGUUUUGGGUUUAGAAAUCACCAAAACCGUAAUUCAUGCCUAUGUAUGAGUUUACUCCCCAAAAAGUUAGUCAUUUGUGUUUACUCCCCAAAAGUCAAAAGAAUAAACCCCAAAAUAUCCUCUCAUGUAUCAUCCAAGAUUUAAUUCCAAAUCUUCAAAGUUGUAAGUGUUCUAACCAUUUCAAGUUAGUAAAACACUUAAUCUAGUGUUUGUGCAUCUAUUCAUCCAUUCAUUUAUGUGUUUUGUUUAGAUUUUCCAAAACACCAACACCAAGAACACACACUUAGUGUUCUUGGCCUUUUAGCACAAAUCACGCCUUCCAUUAGUAAGUGCUUCUAUCCUUGAGUGAUUUUAAUCUAGUAUUACACUUAAACAUCAAGAAAAUAUGUCAAGAACACAAGGUUGGAGGUGUUCACGGUCCAAGGAUGUUCUUGGACCGUAAACACCAUAAAGGGGCACCAAAGUGUGCCUAAGUCCUUAUCUAAGCCCUAGUUGGAUGUUUAAACCAUCCUUGACAUAUUUAAACCCUUCCUUAUAGUGUUUAAGCCUUGAAAAAGCACCAAAACCUCCACUUUUAUGUGUUUACGGUCUAGGGAUGUCCCAAAACCAUAAGCACCCCCAAAAGUGUGUAAAUGUCCGUUAAAAGCCCCAUGGUUGUUCCUUAUGGCUAAAUCUAACCUAGACUAGUACCAUGAUUGAGCUAAGGACUUGAAAACCCCAAAUACCAUAAACUUAUGAGUUUAAGGUAGUUAACUCAUGAGAAAUGGUCGUUAGACCGUAAACUCCAUUUAGGAGUGUUUUGAUGCCACACAACACUUCCUAAGGCUAAUUCAUGAAGUAGGAAUACUUGGAAUAGCUUAGUAGCCUUCAAAACAACAAAUGGUCAUAAAGUGUAGAGUUUACAACCGUAAAUGCUUGCGUUUACUGCCGUAAACUCCUUGAGUAAUGGUCAUGAAGACCGUAAACUCCAAGGGAGUUACCCUUGAACCCCAAACACACUAGCCUUUCCCUANGAGAUGUAUAACACUUGUAUAAAGUGUUUAGCAUGUCCUAGAGUAUCUUAACUUUGUUUAUUAGUUGUUUAAAGACUAAUUGUGUAUAUACAUAUAUCCUUAUAUGUUAUUAGGAUCUUUGUGCGUGUCUAUGUAUUCACUUGACACCAAGCCCUUAUCCGACACUUCCUUCCGAUCCACUAACUACAAGUGAGUUCAUACCCCUUAAUCAAUGUUUUAAACUGUUUUUAAAUGUUUUAUGGGGGGAUACAAGUAGAUUUAUGCUAAUUAUUAUAUCAAUCACAUGUGAUUAAUAACCAGCAUUCAAAUGAUUGGCUACUCAUUAGCCGUUUUACCAAACAGUUUCCUUCAAAUGUAUUUCGUAAACACUUUAUGUGUUUAAAACUCCUUAUUUCUCUGUACAUUUUACUCUGUAUACUACUUUUCAAACUCAAUUACAAUUGUGUUUCAUACAAAUGUUUCUUUAUACUAAACCGUUUUAUCAAACCCAUGCCUUCAAAACCAUUUUAUAGAUUGACAUCAAGUCGAUCUUUUCUUAAGAUAAUAAUUAUGUUCAAAGGUUUUACAAAACUUAUUUAUGCUUUUAUAUUAUAAAUUGCAUGCCUCUAUAUGUAUAGUUAUAUAAGAAAUGUUUAAAAGACUUAGGAAGGCUAUCCACCCUAUUUCCUUUUCGCGCUUGAGAUGUGGUCUGGUGGGAUAUCGGGUACUCGUCCGAAGGUCGUUUAAAUAUUAGUUAUAUAACAUAUGUACAUAUAUAGUCAUAAAGGCCCUUCCAGUUCAUCCCAUGCCCUUGGGUAGCAAGGGUAUACAUCCAUGUCCAUACGUACCAGUUAGAUUACUAGUAAACUACCAUAUGGGUAGUUUAGGAAGAUACUAGAACUAUUACUAGAACGCGAUAUCAUACAAUGAGUCAGUUCAUUCAUGAGUCAAUACUUACUAGANNNNNNNNNNNNNNNNNNNNNNNNNNNNNNNNNNNNNNNNNNNNNNNNNNNNNNNNNNNNNNNNNNNNNNNNNNNNNNNNNNNNNNNNNNNNNNNNNNNNNNNNNNNNNNNNNNNNNNNNNNNNNNNNNNNNNNNNNNNNNNNNNNNNNNNNNNNNNNNNNNNNNNNNNNNNNNNNNNNNNNNNNNNNNNNNNNNNNNNNNNNNNNNNNNNNNNNNNNNNNNNNNNNNNNNNNNNNNNNNNNNNNNNNNNNNNNNNNNNNNNNNNNNNNNNNNNNNNNNNNNNNNNNNNNNNNNNNNNNNNNNNNNNNNNNNNNNNNNNNNNNNNNNNNNNNNNNNNNNNNNNNNNNNNNNNNNNNNNNNNNNNNNNNNNNNNNNNNNNNNNNNNNNNNNNNNNNNNNNNNNNNNNNNNNNNNNNNNNNNNNNNNNNNNNNNNNNNNNNNNNNNNNNNNNNNNNNNNNNNNNNNNNNNNNNNNNNNNNNNNNNNNNNNNNNNNNNNNNNNNNNNNNNNNNNNNNNNNNNNNNNNNNNNNNNNNNNNNNNNNNNNNNNNNNNNNNNNNNNNNNNNNNNNNNNNNNNNNNNNNNNNNNNNNNNNNNNNNNNNNNNNNNNNNNNNNNNNNNNNNNNNNNNNNNNNNNNNNNNNNNNNNNNNNNNNNNNNNNNNNNNNNNNNNNNNNNNNNNNNNNNNNNNNNNNNNNNNNNNNNNNNNNNNNNNNNNNNNNNNNNNNNNNNNNNNNNNNNNNNNNNNNNNNNNNNNNNNNNNNNNNNNNNNNNNNNNNNNNNNNNNNNNNNNNNNNNNNNNNNNNNNNNNNNNNNNNNNNNNNNNNNNNNNNNNNNNNNNNNNNNNNNNNNNNNNNNNNNNNNNNNNNNNNNNNNNNNNNNNNNNNNNNNNNNNNNNNNNNNNNNNNNNNNNNNNNNNNNNNNNNNNNNNNNNNNNNNNNNNNNNNNNNNNNNNNNNNNNNNNNNNNNNNNNNNNNNNNNNNNNNNNNNNNNNNNNNNNNNNNNNNNNNNNNNNNNNNNNNNNNNNNNNNNNNNNNNNNNNNNNNNNNNNNNNNNNNNNNNNNNNNNNNNNNNNNNNNNNNNNNNNNNNNNNNNNNNNNNNNNNNNNNNNNNNNNNNNNNNNNNNNNNNNNNNNNNNNNNNNNNNNNNNNNNNNNNNNNNNNNNNNNNNNNNNNNNNNNNNNNNNNNNNNNNNNNNNNNNNNNNNNNNNNNNNNNNNNNNNNNNNNNNNNNNNNNNNNNNNNNNNNNNNNNNNNNNNNNNNNNNNNNNNNNNNNNNNNNNNNNNNNNNNNNNNNNNNNNNNNNNNNNNNNNNNNNNNNNNNNNNNNNNNNNNNNNNNNNNNNNNNNNNNNNNNNNNNNNNNNNNNNNNNNNNNNNNNNNNNNNNNNNNNNNNNNNNNNNNNNNNNNNNNNNNNNNNNNNNNNNNNNNNNNNNNNNNNNNNNNNNNNNNNNNNNNNNNNNNNNNNNNNNNNNNNNNNNNNNNNNNNNNNNNNNNNNNNNNNNNNNNNNNNNNNCAUCUUUCAUUUUGAUUUAUGCUUUAGUGUUUAUCAAAAUUUGACAGAACACACUUGUAUAAUAAUUAUAUUAUUAAUGCAAUGGAUGAUGUUGUUGCUUGUUUACUACUUUACAUUGUUGUGAUAUUGUACAUGACGUCCUCCGCCCCAGAACGUUUCCGCCGUUCUUGGUUUUGGGGUGUGACAGAUUGGUAUCAGAGCAUUGUUUAUAGUGAAUUAAGUAUAUCAACCCAUAAAAGAUAUACUAACUAUAAAUACAUAAGGGAUUAAAAAUACUCUGACCAAGAGUCUAUACUUUAAAAUAAUAAAAUAUUUAAUUAAGUAUAUGUGUUGCAUUCAUACUAAAAUCAGUGUCACUAGGACAGUACAAAAGAAUUACGAUUGUUGGGCAACACAAGUGGGCUUAGAGAAAUAUGGUCAAAAUUGGGAAGAUAUAGCCUGAUCACCUAUAUUAUCCAAGGGUUGACUAGCAUGUGCCUAAGUGUAGUUGUGUGGUUGCAACAAGUCAAAAAUCUUACCAACCCUACCACAAUGAGAACAGUAGAACAUAAAAUUAAACUUGAAAUACUAUAGGAGUAUUUGGUGUUACUAUAAGUACAUUAUACUUGAGAACUAAAACGGGAUCUUCAUUACGAAGUUCAUAGUUGCUAAGUGGAUACACUAAGGCUAUAUGUAAUUAGGAUGUUAUAGACUUAGAAUCUGUGAAAAUUUUACUUCACCCUAUUUUGUGUGAAUAUGGAGUUAAGAUCACUUAUUCGAAGGCCUAUCCUGUUUCGAUUGCAUAUAACUGGUAUGCACUUCACAAAUAGCGAUGUAACUAAUGAAGAUUUUCUAAAUAAUUAUCUAGAUAAUUCGUCUAAUAAUUAUUUUCUUACCCUAAUUCUCGCAUAGAUAACAUGGUUGGACUCCAUCACCACGGCAAUCAGUAUCUUCCGAAUGAAGUCACUACUGGUUGGUUUGGAGAAGAACCAGACAACGAUCAUCCUAUCCCCGUGAAUAAUCACCAUGAUGAAAACCUUUCAGACUGGCUAACUCCGAACCAGAGGUUGAGAACCUACCCCAGGCGGCUCUCGUUCCAAUUCCUAACCCUCGUCUGGCUUGUCAUGGUUCGACGCCUCCAUGGGUGGAAUGUUUGGAAACAUGGAGCCAAGGACAAGAUCAGUCCAUACCAUAUGAUGGUGACCGAAGCUUUUAUGACUUGAGCAAUGGGGGCUCAGCAGAUAGAGUCUUGCCAGUCUUGGUCCGCAGAGUGGCCCGGAAUGAGAUUCAAGGCAGGAUAGCCCUCCAUCAGAUCACUGAAGUUGUCGCCAAUGCGAGAAUGCAUCCCCUCCGCACCAUUCGUCUAGAAGAUGCUCGCGAGAGAUCUGAGAGAAACUAUGAAACCCUGCUGCAAGCACUGGCUGAAUCACGAGCCAAAUUCAUAGAGCUCCGAGUACCCCAGAGGGUGUACGAAAGACACCUACUUGACGUGGAACGUCAAUUGGCUGAACUAAGAGUUCACCAGAGGGAUGACCGUCGCCAGUAGUAGACGCGUUACUUUAUUUUCUUUAUUAAAAGGAAUCGUUUUUCUGGCUAUGCCCGAUGUGGCAUUUUCUAUGAAACUAUCUUGUAUUGUAAGUACUUUUGGUUAGAUCUUUAUGUUGGAUAAGGUGUCUAUGUCCAUAACUUAUUUGGUAU
RNAcentral lists this long non-coding RNA (52795 nucleotides) under Lactuca sativa (garden lettuce). Its description in RNAcentral is "long non-coding RNA (LSAT_LNC009573)". The record is from RNAcentral. Lineage: Eukaryota; Viridiplantae; Streptophyta; Magnoliopsida; Asterales; Asteraceae.